CGAGGUGACGAGUACAUACUCAUGCUAUAUGUGCAAAAUUUAUUGAGUUAAAGUCUUGGGCAUAUUGUGUAGUAAAUUGGAUAAUUGUUGGCAUUUAUUUAAUCAUCUGUUUGCCAUGCCGCAUAUAUUGAAUUUAUUUUUAUAUGACGAUUUGAUGUGAAUGUUACCUGUAUAUUUAUGUGAAUUCUGUGAGUUUGAUGGUUUGAAAUUUUUGAAAUUUAAUUUCAUUAUGGAUUUUUCCUUUGCAAAUAAUUAAUUAAACGAGCUUAAGAAGAAGUGUUAAUAUAAUUAUCAAAAUUUGGAUUAAUGAUGGAGUUGCCCUAUGCUGAUUAUUUUCUAGCUCUGUUAAUUAUUUUUGAGGUUUUAUAUACAUUGUGUGGAGCUUUGAGCUAUUUGUUAUGAAAUUAUAUGAUUUGUUAUAUCUUUGGAAUUGGUUGUCUCCAUUGGAAAAAUUGUGAUAUGAAUUGAUUUUUGUUAUGUUGUCGUGAUAAUACUUCGUGUAAAUUGUUGAGUUAUUAUUUUGAGGAUAUAAGGGUGGCAUUCUACUGUUGACAUUAUGUGGGUAUAAGGGUGGUGGCAUUUCACUGUUAUUAUGUGUGUUGGGAUAUUAUCUGGGCGAAGUGAUAAGGGUGGCUAUAAAAGAGAUAAGGGAGGCUUUAUGAGCGAUAAGUGUGGCUAUUGAUAUUGUAAGGGCGGAGGGAUAAGGGAGGCUAUUACAGGAGUGAUAAGGGUGGCUAUAGGAGAGAUAAGAGUGGCUAUUGUCAGAGAUGAUAUGUGAUGAUGUGGAGUUAUUGUGUUGGUAAUUUUCAUGUGAUGUUAGGGUAUUCCUUGUGUUUAUUUUUAUAUCUUGUGCAACUUAUUUUGUUGUUUCGGUAAACUUGAUAAUAGUAUGAUUUAUGUUGAAAUUGUAAGUGUGUGGCUAUUGCCGGACAGGUAAUGUUAUAUGGGAUCAGGUUGCACGCCGCAACGGAUAUGAAAUGUGGGCACGAGGUACCGAGAAAAAUAUGAUGGUUUUAUUAUUGGCACGUGAACUAUUCGUGCAGCUGUGAUAUGAAAAGUGGGCACGAGGUGCCGAGGAAAUAUGAUAAUUUAAUUAUGGGCACGAAGUGCCGUGAAAAUAUGAUAGUGGGUUGAGACCCGUGUUUACGAAAAAUAUGAAAAAGGGCUGAGACCCGUAUUUUUAUGAUUAUGAAAUGGGGUGUCACAUGGUGACUUUUAAUUGAAAGAAUUAUAUUCAAAAUAUUAUAUUUGAAAAAGAUUUAUUGAAAGAAUUAUAUUUGAAAGAUACUUAUUUGAGAAAAUUAUAUUUGAAAGAGAUUUAUUGAAAGAAUUAUAUUUGAAAGAUAUUUAUUUGAGGAAAUUAUAUUUGAAAGAGAGUUAUUUGGAAGAAUUAUAUGUGAAAAAUAUUUAUUUGAAGGGAGUAUAUUCUAAAUAUAUUUCUUGAAAAGUAUUAUAUCCUGAAGAGUGUUAUUUGAGAAGCAUACAGACGAAAUAUUUAUAUUUGAAGGACUUGAUUUAAUUGGGUGUACUUGUAUUUAUUAUUUAUUGAGCAAUAUGAAUGGUGUUCUUAUUGCCCUGCUGUGCAUAUCACUGAUUGAUUUGUGUUGCCCUUAUUGUUAUUUGUUUCCUAUUAUUUUUGUAUACUAUUUUGCACAGGUUAUUAGACUAGUGAGUGUCUCGACUGUACCUCGUCACUACUCCACUAAGGUUAGUCUUGAUACUUAUUGGGUAUCUACCGUGGUGUACUCAUACUACAGUUCUGCACAUUUUUGUACAGAACCAGGUAUUUGAGCUAUCGGACUCGGACAAAGUUAAAGUGUGAUCGCAAUGAUUCAAGGUAGAGCUUCUUGGUCGUCGCAGUCCCUUGAUGUCUUUUCAUUUUAUUGUAAUGUUAACUAUUAAUCAAACAGUAUUGAGUAUUCGAUCCUUGAGAUCAUUUCAUGUAUUCAGUUAGAGUUCAUGACGCAGUAUUACCAGUCUUGGCAGGUUUUUCAUAUUUUUUUCCUCUAUUGAUUUUUGGCACCUGUAUUGAAUUUAAAAAAAAAUGGCGUGAAAUGUAAAUGUGCUUGGCUUAUCUAGUCUUAGAGACUAAUGUGNNNNNNNNNNNNNNNNNNNNNNNNNAUUCGAUCCUUGAGAUCAUUUCAUGUAUUCAGUCAGAGUUCAUGACGCAGUAUUACCAGUCUUGGCAGGUUUUUCUAUAUUUUUUUCCUUCUAUUGAUUUUUGGUCACCUGUAUUGAAUUUAAAAAAAAUUAAGGCGUGAAAUGUAAAUGUGCUUGGCUUAUCUAGUCUUAGAGACUAAGUGCCAUCACGAUACCUGUGGUGGAAUUUUGGGUCGUGACAAAUUGGUAUCAGAGCUCUAUAUUCAUAGGUUCUAUGAGUCACGAACGAGUCUAGUAGAGUCUUGCGGAUCGGUACGGAGACGUCUGUACUUAUCUUCGAGAGGCUACAGAACUGUUAGGAAAUUUCCACUUCUUUUAUUUCUGUAAAGCGAAAUUUGUUGAUUUUGGAAUUUGAGCAUUUGUAUCUCUAUUCUCUCAUAAAUGGUGAGGACACGUGCUACUGGGUUAGCUGAGCAACCCCUCGUGCAUACUGCUAGAGCCGCAAGAGGUCGGGGCCGACGUAGAGGCUGAGCAAGGGCAAGUGUCACAGCUAGAGCACCUGUUAGAGUAACAAUUGAGGAGCCGCCAGUAGCUCCGGUCGUGGGACAGGUACCGGAAGCAUAUGUUGUUACCCAAGGAUUUCAAGAGACUUUAGCAUAGUUCCUGAACAUGUUUGGUAUAUUAACUCAAGCAGGGUUGAUCUCCGUUGCACCAAAUAUUUCACAGAUUGGGGGAAGAGUGUUGAUACCCAAUUUUGUCAUCAUAUUUUCUCAAAAAUAUAUAUACUUUCAAAACAUCAUUUUUACAUUAUUAUUUAGUUUACAAAUCUAUACAAUCAUUUUUCUAUAAUUUCCUAUAAUUGUUAGAACAUAAAAUGAUUUUUCUAUAUUUAAAUUGCUUGAAUAUUUAUUAAUUACCCCUUUAAAUUAUUUUAUGAUGACUUAACUACUUAAAGUUAUUAUUUUUUCACCUAUAAUACGUGUUUCAAAUAUUUUACUUCAUUUUAUGUAAUUACAUUAAUACUUUUAAGCGAUUUGAGAAAUUUUGCAGUAAUAGCAUAUAUUUGUACAGAAACACUUUUUAUUUAUAUUAUUUGUGUCAAAAUAGAAUUUUAUAUUUUUAUAAUACAUAGUUAUUAUUUUUAAGCAUUUCAGUGUAUAAGUAAUAUUUUUACUUUUUUGUCAAGCAUUUUUAUAAAUUAUUUUCAUAUAUUUAAAUAAUAGCCUAACUUUAAACUAAUUUUUGAACCAAAUUGGCCCAAUAUCCUUAGCCCAAACCAGCCGACCCUUGUAUAAUACCCGGUCGGUACCCGUUUUUAUGACCCGCCCCGUUUGUUUUUGAAUCCCAGCCGUUGAUCUCUCAAGAUCAAUGGUCUUCGUUCACUUUCCUUCUUUAAUUAACCAAACCCGUCCAAACCCUAUCAUUUCUCUUACCCCGCCGCUCCUAAAUCCUCUCUACUCUCUCUUCUUCUCUAAGAAACCCUAGCCGCUGUAUCACUCAACUUCUCCAAAUUCGGCUCUAAAAUGGAAUCAAUCACUGAUUCACUUACCUUAUUGGUCUCCUCUCACUACUGGUUGUCCGUCUGUGGUGUUACCUAAGUGCUUACCUAAAUAUGGCAAGCAAUAAUCUCCAAAAUCGAACAAAAAAGGGGUUCGAAUCUUUGAUUUGGAGCACUGUUUUGUCUACAUACGUUUAACACUGUAUUAUGUGAGUCCGAUUUCGUUUUAAUUUCUGUGAUUUACACUUUCCCUAAAAAAAACUAGGGUUUACUGGAUUUCUCUCCUAAAUUGAUUUUUGAACUGAUUUUGCAUGCCUUCUUUCCUUAUUCUAUGAUUGAUUUAUUUUGUUUUCUUGUUUGUUCGUUCAAUUUUUACUACUAUAUAAACCCUCCCCCAUUCCUCUUUUAGGACAGACUUGAAUUGGCAUAUUUUCACUAACAAAUUGAGGCUUUGUUAUGCUAUUCUCUUGUUCUGUAUUCUGGUUUUGGCCGGCUGAAAGCCAAGGCCACUAAGACUCUGUUAUUCAAUCUUUUCUCGGUACGAGCAUUGCCCAGAGUUCUUUCGAAGCUCCUGGGAACUUUGACGCAUUGAGAUUUUGGGUUCUUGUUGAAUUUUUGCUCUUUAGUGUUAUUCAUUUAACUGGUAAGUUACUGGACUUCUGCAAUUUCAUUCUUAUGUGUCUGUGAUUCGCAUACGUUCUCACUUCUAAAAUUCAUAGCUUAAUAUGUUUCUGGACUGCCCUUGUGUGCAAUUCUUCUAGUUUUACCUCAGGUUUAGGUCUCUUUAGUAUUUAAUUUCACAUAAUGUGGCUACUCUGAAAUAUGCUUUUGCCUAAUUUGAGCAAUUUAGAUUCUCUUAAAUCCGUUUAGCCAAUGUGUUUUGAACUACUGUCGUGUGACCUUUGCACUAGCUAGCAUCUCUUUAGUGUUUAGUUUUGCUUAAAAUGUCAAUUCUGUCAUUUGAAUAUGCUUCAUCUACAUAAUUUGUACUUUCUUUAGUUAAUUAGUCUAUUGUAUCCAAAACAUGAAUGUUUACAUUUACUAUCUGACAUGAGCUUGUUUUCUCAUUUUAUUCUGAAUCUUUGUAAUGGUAAUCUUGCCAUGUAGUAUGUUUUAAGUCUGUGUUAAAAUCCUUCACUACCAACCAUGACUAGUUCCUUGUUAAUAUGUCCCUCAGCAUGUUUUUGGCUCUUUUGAUCCACCAGUAAUUGUCAUAAUCUGUGUUGCCCCAUCAUGUCUAAUACAGUUCUGUUGUAUGAUAUGAAAUUAACAUGCCUAUUUUAUGACACUAGGAUAUAUACUUAGCAUAAUUUGGACCUUUAGGUUUUCACCUGUUUGGUAUCGGGCAUCUAUGCAUGAUAAUCUUUGUCAAUCGUGCAAACUUGUUCUUUCCUUAACUCUGCCAAUAUGUGACUGCCUAUGUGCUAUGUGUCGAACCUGCUUCUAAAUCUUUACUAAACUUGCUUUUAAAUCCUAUGACAUGUUCAAUUAUCUGCUCUAUAUGCUCAACUUGUCCAUGUCUGUUUUAAGUUAUAAUUGUAUCCCUCAAUUGCUGUCUCUCAACCUAGGUCCACUCUCCUUCACUUGUUAACUAUGCUCUCUUAAAUUUCUCAUUCUUAGUCAGUAGAAAGCCAAGGCUACCUAGGCUUUACUGCUGACCUCCCUAGUGUGAGCACUGCUCGGGGUCCAUUUGAGGCAUUCUCUGAAACUUAAACUACCCCCAUUCAACCCCUUUCUUCCUAUUUUCUGUUGUACAUCUAAGUCAGUUGGUUUAAAUGAUGCAAUUCUUGGAAAUAUGGUUAUAUGAAUUGACUUUGGGCUCCUCUAUGGAUUCUGAGGUUGUGUUGAAGAAUACGGCUCCUUAUUAGAAGUCUGGGUAUGCUGUGUGAGAAUUGCUGAAGGCCCAGACAGUGCUGGGUAUUUCAUUUGAGCCUGUUGUGGGCCUAUUAUCAUUAUUUGUAUAACAGUUGUAUCAUACUCAUUAAUGGGCAUGUAAUAACUUUGUAUAAAUGAUUGGGGUGUUAGUAAAAUGGGGAAUGGGUAGAUUUCUAAUAUUUGCAUGCCAAAUGGGUAGACGACAUGCCUAUAGGACUUAUUGAAUCACUUGCUAUAUGUGCCGUUCAAUUUAUAUGUGCACUGUAGAAACCAUGUCAUUAGGAUAAACACACACACACACACACACAUUGUCUGUUGGCAAACAUGUAUUCAAAUGCUGCAAUUAUUCUUAUUGCUACGUGUUACUAGAAAACCUGCCUAUAGGAACAAAUGUCAAUGAACUUUCUUUCAAUUCAUUUCAGCAUAUUCAUUAAAAAUCAUGCCUAUAGGAUUUUGAUCACCUCAUUUGCUAUUAUCUCAUACUGUUCACUACAAACCAUGCAUAUAGGAUUUUAAUCAUCUCAUUCGUUACUGCAUCGCAGUGUUCACCUAGAAAACAUAUCUAUUGGGUUGAGUGUAAUGAUAAAAUCAGCUCCAAGUGCUAAACAUUAGAGAUCCUGUCUAUAGGACAACACUGUUUCGUCUUAAUAAGAGUCAAUGUUGCACCUCUCAAUAUGGUUUAUUAUGCACUUCUGGGAUCUUCCCAAUGGUUCUUUCAUUAUUCCUUACUGCACGAGUCACCUAGACACAGCAGGCUUAAUAACCAUAAAUCUGCAAUUUCAUUAAUCAACCUGCAAAUCGUAUAAUCCUAUUUAUGAGCAACGCUUGGCCUUUGAAACUGUUUGCAAGCCCUGAUGCCUUGUCAUGUAGAAAUCAUGCCUAUAGGGAUUUAAGUUUCUUAAUUCUAACUUGCUUAACAUGUAGUUUGUCUUGCAUGCAUUUGUUGCUUAAGUGUGGAGGCAAACUUGAACCUUAACUGCAUAUAUGUGAAGUCCAAUGUGCUUUUGUAUAUCGCCUAGUUUUGACAUUUCUGAGCAGCCUAAGUGAGGUCUAGAACCAUCCAAAUAGAGGUCCAAAACCUCCUGGACCAUAGGUAUGGGAUGGGUAGUGCACAUGUAUGGUACAACUUAGAAUUAAAUUAGAGCGCUCUUAGGUAAACAGUUUUAACAUAGUAAUCGGGUAGCAGGAGAUGAUAGUCUCUGCCCGCUAGAUAAUGUGAGUAACACCCUAUCUCAAGAGCGUUACGAAAUAUAAUUUAUGUUGCACGGGGUGAUCCUUUAGGCUAAAAAACUUAGGACCCCCCUCCCCCCUUUCUUUCUUUUCUAUUAGAAUGAAAAAAUAGCUGCACCUCCCUAUUCAAGAUCUCUUUGUAAUAAAAUUCUUAGAUUUUGUACUGUCUUUGCUUACUUGAUCACAUAGACUAAUCCAUAUAAUUUAAGUUUGGCCGGGACCCAUAGUUGUGGACCUCGAGGUGUGCCUAACACCUUCUCUUUGAGGUAACUUGAGCCCUUACCCGAUCUUUGGUGGCGUUGACUAGUUAAAACAUAGUNNNNNNNNNNNNNNNNNNNNNNNGUCAUUUGCAAAUAGGUUCCCUAACACACCUUAGAAAUCGUUAGGUGGCGACUCUUCUCUUUUAAUACCUUCUUAGAGUUGUCACAUGUCGAAGCCCGAUUUUGCGAGCAAAAUAGGGGAGCGACAGCAUGGCGACUCUGCCGGGGAAUUACACUUAGGCUCUUACCAUAGCGAAUUUGGCUUAUAUGGAUUAGUCUUCUUUGAUAUAAGCGUGCUUCCCUUUUUUGUUUUUAUUUGCUACUACAUGCACAUCCCUCUCCCAUUUUCCUUUUACUUGUUUAAAUUCGUUAUAAUAUGCACAUCCCUUCCCUGCUCCACCUUCCUUUGCUUAAAUUGGUUAUAACAUGCGUAUCUCUUUUCUAUUCACCUUUAUUUGCUCUAAAUUGCUCUUCAUUUGCUUAAAGAUUGCUACAUCGUGUCUCUCCUACCCCUACUCCCUUUCUUACUUUAUUACAUUCUCUAUAUUCCAUGAACUAACUUCUUCCUUUGUCUUUCUUUUUACGUCGUUUAUGUUUUACCUUAAUACUGUAUUUAUUGCUUUUUUAUAUUUAUCAUGAAAAUACUUGGCAACGUUUUAUUAUCUUUGCAUAAAGCAUGCUCCACACCAUAUUUCACUCGUGCCCGAUUAAUAACAUAGCGGCACUUGAUGAGUAUCCGCGCUCUUCCAAAUUUACCAUUUAAAAUUGGAAAGGCUUACUUGCGGUAAACUAGUCGAUCAACGGUGCAGUCGACGGUCCCAUGCCUUUCCCUCUCAAGUUGUCCACUUGAGAGUACCGGUCUAGAACCUUCUAUAAACCUCACUCCAAUAUCAAAUGUGCAUGUAUCAUGUCAAACCUAGUAUGGGUUAGAACGUUAUCCACGUGAUAAUCCACUAAGAUGAGCCUUAUAUAAAGUCCGACGGGAUUUCCACAAUCCCAAUAGACACCAUCAUGUUAUGUGCAUUACUUGGAGAAAACAUGCCGGUAUGUUGAUCAUUAAUGUGUAAAUAGUCAGGUCCGGAGGGGGAAAGGGCUAACUCUAUUUGUUUGUAGAAAAUGAAGCACAAAGUCCCCAGGUUCGGCAUGGUUCAAAACAUCCCACCUUUGUUACUUGAUUGGUGGAAGAACCUCUCACCUAGUGACAAGAAUAAUGUGAAAAGGGUCCUUGGUAAUUUACCUUCCUUAUUAGAGAUUCGGCCAAAUAGGGCAUUGGUUGAUGCCGCCACUAUGUUUUGGGAUGAGAAAAGAGAUGUCUUCUGCUUUGGUGACAUAGAAAUGACUCCUCUCUUAGAGGAAAUAGGAGGCUUCGCUAAGCUGCCAUGGGAUAAUCUGGGUUUAUUAGUACCAGAGAAUCGCACUCCCACGGUUUUUUUAAAAUGUUGGGUUUCAAGAAAAAUGAUGAGUUACUCUAUCUGAAGAAGUCAUACAUCCCAUUUGAAUUCCUUUACAAACGUUAUGGGCAUAGCAAGUCAUAUCACCUUCAUCAUGAUGAACUUGCCAUCGCUUCUUUUGGUUGGACGCACCGCCGAGUUUUUGUGUUCAUUGUCUGUUUCUUGGGAUUGCUGAUAUUUCCGAUGAAAGGGGGAAGGAUCCAAACUCGCUUAGCCAUGGUCGCUAGGACUCUAAUGGAAGGGAUCGAGGGACAAACUUACACUAUCAUCCCCAUGAUCUUGGCCGAAAUGUAUCGCGCUUUAGAUCGAUGCAAGCAGGGGUAUGGACACUUCGAGGGCUGUAAUAUGUUGUUGCAGGUUUGGUUAUUAGAAUAUUUCCAGAGAGGUGAAUAUCACCAAGAGCUUCUGCGACGACCAUUGAAUGACUACAUAGCUUACCAUCAUCCAAAGAUAAUGACAUUUAUCCUAGAUAGGUUUGUGCAACCUGGAAGUGUUGUGAGCUGGGUGCGUUUCUUCAGCAAUCUGACUGACGAAAAAGUACAUUGGAUGUUUGAAUGGUUGCCUAGCAGUGAGUUCAUAAUCAGAUCAAGAUAAACUACUCAUCUAGUGCUGAUCGAGUUAAGAGGGAUCUAUCCUUAUGCUCUUAUAACGGUAAUGAGGCAUGCGGGAAGAAAACAGGUUAUACCUCGGGUUUCCAACAUGGUCCAAUACAAAACAGAUUUUAAAGGGAACAUCGUUCCGUUCAAGUUCGAGGCACAGCAUAUGUGGAAUCAAAAGGUCAUUGUGGAGAAAGAUACUAUCAAGCCAGACAGGUAUCAUGCCGGCCAUGUGUACUUCUACCCAUCAGGGUUGGUAGAUGAUAUAGUGGGGGAUGUCAAGCCAGGAAUUAAUCUGAAAAAAUGGAUCAUAGAUGACGCUGCUAAAGCACAAGUCAAGUAUAGGAGGCUACGCAAAAGGGUCUUCGAGUCUGAAGCUAGGCAUCUAGAACAACACAAAGUGGAUAUGGAAGCAACCAACGAAUGGAGGGAAACCGCCACUAAAUCAAUAGAAAGACUAGAAUAUUUAGAGCAAGGGUUGAUGGAGCUUGAGGGAAAGGUGAGAAAGAGGCUUUCAGAUUGUCAGAACACGGAUGGCAAUGAAAGGGGGCAUCUAGCAAAGGCUUACCUGUUGUUGGAUAUGCGCGACCUGGGGAAUCUGAUUGAUGGAGUCAAGAGAGCCAAACAUAGGGAAGGUCCUUCUAGGACCAAGUAGAUUAGGAAAUGAUGUUCUUUACUAUUUUUAGCUUAGUUUUAGAUUUCAAUUGUAAUAAGGCAAAUGCCAUUAGUAACUUUCCUAUUAUUGUCGUUUUAGUAAGGAUUUAAUUCAUUUUCGCAUUAAUGAAAUGACACAAUUAUUGGCAUUAAUUUUCUCCAAGUCUAUGUGUCGCUUAGGCCUACCUCGGGCACAAUGAGGUCCCUCAAAUUAGGACGUGAAUUUAUUAAUUCUGCAACACAUGUUCAAUAUCGCAAACAUUCUUUUAAUACUCCUUACUGACUUGGUUACCUUUUUGUUUUUUCUUUUAUUUAUUCCCAUUCCCCAAGGUUGGUUCGUGCAUACUGGCAUCGUCAGCAUAUCACACUAGAUCCAGAGGUCUUCCACCUUCUACUCCACCAAGUUAUCCUAAUAACAAAGGAAAAGAAAUAAUGGAUGAUAUGAGUGGUAUUAGAAAAGACAAUGCUACCCACACAGAGAACAUUGAAACUUCAGACGGCCGGAGUACGCCAGCACAGAAUGAUUUGGUCCUAUGUGUGGAACAAAAAAUAUUGGAGCUACAAGCAGAGCUUGAGCAGGUUCGGAGCUUGGCAAACCUUUCCCUCACCCUAAACGUCCCCGACAUCAACCAACAAACCACAAACGCCCAAAACCCGGUACCUCCCCAAAACACACAAAACCAAAAUCCGCAAAAUCCUCUCGCGCCUCAUCAAUAUGCCACACCUCCUCAAAACCAUAAUCCUCCACCACUACCUACCCCUCCACAACACCAUCACUAUCCGACUCAAUAUCCACAAACCACCACUUAUCACACUCCUCAGAACGCACCACAACCUACCCCUAAUCCCCAAAACUCAACCAACGACCACCAUUAUGCCCAGAUUCCUGGAGUCCAUCAAAGCAAUCCCAUAUAUAUGGAAACUUUACCCCGUACCCCACAACAUACCUUAUAUAUACCCGAAUCCGCCGAGAAGGACAUGUUCAUCAAGAACAUGGAGGAAGAACUCAAGAAGCUUACUGGCAGAGUUCAAAGUGUCGAAGGUGGCAAAGGCAUUGAGGGUUUGAAUUAUGAAGAUUUGUGUAUUCAGCCAGAUGUAGAACUACCAGAGCAUUACAAACCUCCUAUGUUUGAAAUGUUCGACGGAACUGGUGAUCCGAAUGUGCAUUUGAGAACGUAUUGUGACAAACUUGUAGGGGUUGGUAAAGAUGAACGAAUCCGUAUGAAGCUGUUCAUGAGGAGCCUCACCGGAGACGCCUUGUCUUGGUAUAUCAGUCAGAACCCAAAGAAGUUGGUUAAUUGGGUGAGCAUGGCAUCAGAUUUCAUGGAUCGGUUCAUGUUUAACACAGAAAAUGCACCAAACAUUUCUACAUUCAGAAUCUCAAGAAGAAACCAACAUAAACUUUCCGCGAGUAUGCUACUCGGUGGAGGUCUGAAGUCGCAAAAGUAAGGUCGACACUUGAAGAAGAAUAGAUGAAUAAGUUCUUCGUCAAGCUCAGGAACCGCAAUACUACGAAAGAUUGAUGGUUAUUGAAAACCAUAAAUUUUCUGACAUCAUCAAAUUGGGAGAAAGAAUAGAAGAAGGGAUCAAAAGCGGAAUGGUGACAAACUUUGAAGCACUCCAAGCCACAAAUAAAGCUUUGCAGUCAGGAGGUAUCUCCAAGAAGAAAGAAGUGGGUGCAGUAAUGGUAGCCCAAGGUCCAAAGUCUCCUCUCACAUACCAAACACCUCCACCCACAUAUCGGCCUUCACCUCCCAGAUACCAAUAACCUGCCUCUAUUUACAAUACCUAUAACACCCAACCAGCAUACUACCACUCACCACCAGCCCGCCAAAAUAACCAAAACCAAGACUAAAUUUUUAUCACAGACCACCCAGACAAUACACUCCAAUUGCCGAACCCAUAGACCAACUAUACGAUAAGCUAAAGGCUGCUGGUUAUUUCACUCCCAUUCCCGCUGUUGCUAUGGAAAACUCUNNNNNNNNNNNNNNNNNNNNNNNNNNNNNNNNNNNNNNNNNNNNNNNNNNNNNNNNNNNNNNNNNNNNNNNNNNNNNNNNNNNNNNNNNNNNNNNNNNNNNNNNNNNNNNNNNNNNNNNNNNNNNNNNNNNNNNNNNNNNNNNNNNNNNNNNNNNNNNNNNNNNNNNNNNNNNNNNNNNNNNNNNNNNNNNNNNNNNNNNNNNNNNUCAGACAUUAAUUGACACCAAAGUCAUACAGGCAAAAGAGGCUGCACCCAAUGUCCGUAACAAUCCUCUCCCAGAUCAUAGGGGUGAAGGGGUAAACGUGAUAGAGACCAAUGAAGAAUGGGACUCGGAAGGGUCAAUUGGACUCAUUCGAGAAGGGAAUAAUCCUAAAACAUCUCCAGUCACUCUCACACAUAUCGUGGUACAAACUCAGGCACCAAUUAAAGUUGGGGUAGCCGCACCAACUCCAUUUGAGGUUGAAGUAACAACACCCUUCACUGUGAUGGUAGCACCUACGCCAUCUUAUAAGUCUAAUGCUAUACCAUGGGAUUAUGUUGCUGAAGCAAGAAGGAAAGGAAAAGCAAAAAUGGAAGAAACAGGUGCAGUGCAAGGCAUGACCAUAACAGGUAGGGUUUAUACACCCGAGCAUUUGGGAGGAACGAGCAAAGAAGCUGCAUCUAAUCCGCCUGUCAUUGAGACUGGCCCGGAUGACCUUUGGAGAAAGGUAAAAGCAAGAGAAUAUUCUGUGGUUGAUCAUCUGAACAAAACCCCUGCUCAAAUAUCCAAUUUAUCACUACUGCAAAACUCGAGGCACAUAGGAAUGCCCUGAUGAAAUUUGUUGAAUGGAGCCUAUGUACCCAUUAACAUCACCAGUGGAGAAAUGGCCAACAUGGUAAGGCAAGUGUUGGAAAGCUACAAGAUCACUUUACAUGAAGAUGAGCUGCCACCGGAAGGACUAAGUCAUAACAGGGCACUGCAUAUCACAGUGCAGUUGGAGGACAAAUUCAUUGCCAGAGUCCUGAUAGAUGGGGGUUCGAGUCUCAACAUAUGUCCACUAACUACUCUGAAAAGAUUGGGUAAAGGCCUGCACGAGAUACGAGUAGGAAGUAUGAAUGUGAAAGCAUUUGAUGGGUCUCAAAGGGCCACAAUUGGGGAGACCAACCUCAGCCUACAGAUGGUCCCAACUUGGUUUGAUGUUGAGUUUCAAGUGUUGGACAUAUCUGCUACCUACAACCUAUUGUUGGGACGACCUUGGAUACAUGCCGCUGGGGCCAUAGCUUUUACUCUACAUCAGUCCGUGAAGUUUGAGUGGAACCAUCAGGAAGUGAUUAUCCAUGGAGACGGAAGUAAUCCCAUUUAUACCAAUCAAACUGUUCCGGUCGUGGAGAAUAGAAGGAAGUUGGGUGGAGAAACAUACCAUCGCAUCAAGCUCAUCAAUGCAAUUGAGAAAGACAAAUGGUAGAGCAGUAAGAUAGAAAGCAUACUAUCAUGAACAGAGUAUGAACCCGGCAAGGGUCUCGGCAAAAAUCUCUAGGGGAUCACCAAACUGAUACAGCUAAAGCGUCAUGGCAUAACCUUUGGGCUUGGGUAUGAAUACACUUGGAAAGAGUGUCAUAAUUGGUCGCCACCAUGGCAUGGUCCUUAUUACCCUCUAGAACAACCAGUACCACAUUUGCACCAGUCAUUUCAUCAAGCUGACAUGAUGUGGGGGUCCGAAAAAGAUGAAGUUUUAGCUGGCAUAAAGAAUUUGUUUCUGGAUGAUGAAGACAUGGAUUGCAGUGCGGUAGUUGAGGAGAAGGAGGAGGAAGGCCUUAUUAUUUAGACCGUGGAGAAGGGAGUUGUUCUCAAGAACUGGACUGCUGCACCAUUAAGGGCCCGUCGAGUUCCUGGGUAGCCUGGCAAUUAGCAUAAUUUAGUUUUUGAAAGCAAUUUUAUGAGCAUCAAAGACAUUUUCAGUAUUUUAUUUUAAGCAUAUUUUGUUUUGAAAUAAUUUCUCGAAUCAUCGAACUGCACUUGUUUGACGCUUCAACUUUUUAUCAAUGGAUUGUCGUUUUUAGUAUUUAUUAUUAUCCCUUACAUUUUCUCUCUCUAUAACAUUAUUAUUAAUUAUCCUGAUGAACCUACGACUGUGACAUGUAAUGAGACAACGCAACAUAAGGAGAGUGAUUCAGAGGAUCUGGAAGAGGACAUAAUACCCGAGGAAAUCGUUAGAGAAGUGGAAAAUUUUGAAAACAAACCUAAGUCCAAUUUGGAUGAGACUGAAACAGUUAAUUCGGGAGACUCCGAAACAGUCAAGGAAACGCUUGUAAGCAUUCAUCUAUUGCCGUCAAAGAAGGAAUAAUAUAUCUAGUUUUUGAAAGAGUAUGAGGAAAUUUUUUCAUGAUCCUACGAUGAUAUGACCGGUUUGAACACGUCCAUAGUGGCUCAUAAACUACCUACCGACCCUAUGUGUCCACCGGUAAAGCAGAAACUCAGAAAGUUCAAGCCAGAUUUGAGUUUGAAAAUAAAAGAGGAAGUCACCAAGCAAAUCAAAGCCAAGGUUCUCAGAGUGGUUGAAUAUCCAACCUGGUUGGCUAACUUUGUGUUGGUUCCAAAGAAAGAUGGGAAGGUCAGAGUGUGUGUCGACUAUCGGGAUUUAAAUAGAGCAAGUCCCAAAGAUGUUUUCCCUUUGCCCAAUAUAAACAUACUGAUUGACAACUGUGCCAAGCAUGAACCUCAAUCCUUUAUGGAUUGCUUCGCGGGAUAUCAUCAGAUCUGGAUGGAUGAAGAGGUUGCCGAAAAGACAGCCUUUAUUACACCAUGGGGAGUAUAUUGUUACAAAAUGAUGCCGUUUGGCCUAAAGAAUGCUGGAGCCACUUAUAUGAGGGCCAUGACAACCAUUUUCCAUGACAUGAUACACAAGGAGAUAGAGGUGUACGUGGACGAUGUCAUCAUCAAAUCUAAAAAGGGUACAGAUCACAUAGCGGAUUUGAGGAAAUUUUUUGAUCGACUUCAAAGGUACAACCUGAAACUGAACCCCAUAAAGUGUGCCUUCGGAGUCCCUACUGGAAAACUACUAGGGUUCAUCAUCAUCCACCGAGGAAUUGAGCUUGACCCGUCAAAGGUCAAGGCUAUCCAAGAUUUGCCACCUCCGAAGAACAAAAAAGAUGUGAUGAGUUUCUUAGGGCAUCUCAAUUACAUCAGCCGUUUCAUAGCACAAUCAACUGUGAUCUGUGAACCGAUUUUCAAAAUGUUGAAGAAAGACACUGCAACAAGUUGGACUGAAAAGUUCCAGAAAGCCUUUGACAAUAUCAAGGAAUACUUAUCCAAACCACCUGUUCUGGUCCCACCGGAACAUGGGAGACCUCUGCUACUUAAUUUAUCUGUACUAGAUGGGGCUUUCGGCUGUGUCUUGGGACAACACGAUAAGACGGGAGAAAGGAGCAGGCCAUAUACUAUCUGACUAAGAAGUUCAUACCUUACAAAGCAUGGUAUUCUUUGCUGGAACGCACCUGCUGCGCUUUGACAUGGAUAGCUCAAAAGUUGAGGCACUACUUUUGUGCCUACACGACAUAUCUCAUAUCAAGGAUGGAUUCGCUAAAAUACAUCUUCCAGAUACCCAUGCUUAUGGGGAAGUUAGCAAAAUAGAAGAUACUACUUAGUCAGUUUGACAUCAUCUAUGUAACCCAGAAGGCGGUCAAAGGGCAAGCAUUGGCGGAUCAUCUGGAAGAAAAUCCUGUAGAUGGAGUAUACAAACCACUAAAAACGUAUUAUCUCGAUGAAGAGGUAUUGUUCGUAGGAGAAGAUAUCACAGAAGCCUAUGAUGGUUGGAGAAUGUUCUUCGAUGGGGCUGCGAAUUUCAAAAGAGUGGGUAUUGGAGCAGUUUUAGUGUAAGAAAUGGGUCAACACUAUCUAGUAUCCGCAAAACUCAGGUUUCCAUGUACUAACAACAUGGCAGAAUAUGAGGCCUGCAUCUUAGGACUCAGGUUAGCCAUCGAAAUGAACAUUCAGGAAUUGCUGGUAAUUGGAGAUUCAGACCUUUGGGUACAUCAGGUUCUAGGAGAUUGGGCUACAAAAAAUACCAAGAUAUUACCAUAUUUGUACUAUGUACAAGAGUUGAUGAAGAGAUUCACAAAAAUAGAGUUCAAACAUGUUCUGAGAAUCCAGAAUGAGUUCGCAAAUGCACUGGACACUUUAUCUUCCAUGAUACAAUACCCAAACAAGAAUUUCAUCGAUCCUAUCCUAUUAGGGAUUCAUAAUCAGCUAUCUAAUUGUGCUCAUGUUGAAGAGGAAAUGGAUGGAAAUCCAUGGUUCCACGACAUCAAAGAAUAUUUGGAAAAAGGAGAGUACCCGGAGCACGCAAAUCAUACUAAAAAACGCACACUCCAAAGAUUAUCCAACCACUUCUUCCAAAGCGGAGGAAUUCUAUACAGAAGGACUCCAGAUCUGGGAUUAUUACAGUGUGUCGACGCCAAUGAAGUAUCCAAAUUGCUUGAAGAGAUACAGGCCGAAACUUGCGGACCGCACAUGAAUGGCUUUGUCUUAGCUAAGAAGAUAUUAAGAGCAGGAUAUUUUUGGAUGACAAUGGAAACAGACUGCAUCAGGUAUGUCCAAAAGUGUCAUCAAUGCCAAGUACAUGCUGAUAUGAUACGAGUGCCACCCAAUGCAACAAGUGCACCUUGGCCUUUCUCCGCUUAGGGAAUGGAUGUCAUCGAUCCAAUCGAACCCGCCGCUUCAAAUAGGCACAGGUUCAUUCUAGUGGCCAUAGAUUAUUUCACAAAAUGAUUGAAGCCGCAUCUUACAAGGUUGUAACUAAGAAGGUCAUUGUAGAUUUCAUUAGGGAUCGUAUUAUUUGUCGGUUCGGGGUGCCAAAAUCAAUUAUCGCCGACAAUGCCGCCAACCUUAACAGUGAUUUGAUGAGAUCCAUGUGUGAAAUCUUCAAGAUCAAGCAUAAGAAUUCCACAACAUACAUGCCACAAAUGAAUGGAGUUGUGGAAGCCGCCAAUAAGAACAUCAAGAAGAUAUUAAAGAAGAUGGUAGAUAAUCACAAACAAUGGCACGAGAAGCUACCAUUUGGCCUACUUGGAUAUCGUACCACGGUUCACACAUCAACGGGGGCAACUUCUUAUUUGUUAGUCUAUGGUACUGAAGCUGUUAUUCCCGCUGAAGUAGAAAUUCCUUCUUUGAGAAUCGUACAAGAGGCUGGAUUGAGUGAUACAGAAUGGAUACGAAGUCACUAUGAACAACUGGCUCUCAGUAAUGGGAAAAGAAUGAAUGUGGUAUGUCACGGUCAACUCUACCAGAAAUGACCAGAACCGAAUAUCCAGAGCUUUCAACAAAAGGGUCAGGCCUAGACAAUUCAUAUCGGGGCAGUUGGUACUAAAGCGGAUCUUUUUGUAUCAAGAUGAAGCCAAAGCAAAAUUUUCACCCAAUUGGCAAGGUCCAUACAUGGUUCAUAGAGUACUAAUAGGAGGAGCACUCAUACUUGCAGAAAUGGACGGAGAAAUUUGGCAAAACCUAUCAACUCAGACAUAGUCAAAAGAUAUUAUGUUUAGACUAUUUACAUUUCUUCAUCUGAUGUACCUGAACUACGCUUGACCUGAUUCCCAUUUAAGAGGGGAUAAGUAGGAAGCCCUGUGGGUUCGGUCACAUCUUAAUAAAAUAUUCAUUUUUUCCACGGUCAGAAGCUGGCCCUCAAAAUUCUAAAGCUAGUCCAGACAACUUCGUCAUACGCAGAACAAUCAAAGGAUUGUUUUUAAACUGGGGCAGAAUUUUGAGGAGGACCCUUAAAAUUCUAAAGCAUGGAGGUUGCAAUGUCUCUAAAAAAUGUCACAGUCAUUGGCUCAUCUAGAUUACUUAAUAUUGCAUACUACCAUAUUUCAAAUAACUACACUCAUCAAAUGCACACAUAUGUUUUUUAAAAACUUUAUUUCUAUAACAGCCAGAUGCUGCCCAGGGUAACUCAAACAGGAUCUCAAGACAGGAGCAAAAUCAAAGUAAGAAGGUGAAAGCACAGACCAACUUUCCCCCACAAAACUCACAAUCUUUCUUUGGAUGCAGGUACAGUAAGACAACAAUAUCUGUAGACACAUCAGGUCACUACGUUCAAGACAGCAAAUUAUCUAUCACAAGCAUCUCCAGCUAAGAAAUACACUACUUUCUCACUAUCACUCAACAUUUUCUUGCAUGAGGCUAAGCACUGCCUCCUUAACUGCAUAAGGCUAAGCACCGCCUUUCUUUGCAUGAGACUAAGCAAUGUCUCCUAUUUGCAUAAGGCUAAGCAUUGCCUCAUUAACUGCAUAAGGCUAAGCAUUGCCUUUUCCGCAUGAGACUAAGCAGUGUAACCUAUUUGCAUGAGGCUAAGGCCUGCCUCCCUAUUUGCAUGAGGCUAAGCCCUGCCUUUUCCGCAUGAGACUAAGCAUUAUCUCCUAUUUGCAUGAGGUUAAGCAUUGCCUCCUUAACUGCAUAAGGAAAAGCACUGCCUCCUUAACUACAUAAGGCUAAGCACCGCCUUUCUUUGCAUGAGACUAAGAAGUGUCUCCUAUUUGCAUGAGGGUAAGCAUUGCCUCCUUAACUGCAUAAGGCUAAGCAUUGCCUUUUCCCCAUGAGACUAAGCAGUGUCUCCUAUUUGCAUGAAGCUAAGCAUUGCCUCCCUAAUUGCAUAAGGCUAAGCAUUGCCUUUUCCGCAUGAGACUAAGCAUUGUCUCCUAUUUGCAUGAGGCUAAGCAUUGACUCCUUAACUGCAUAAGGCUAAGAACUGCAUUUCUUNNNNNNNNNNNNNNNNNNNNNNNNNNNNNNNNNNNNNNNNNNNNNNNNNNNNNNNNNNNNNNNNNNNNNNNNNNNNNNNNNNNNNNNNNNNNNNNNNNNNNNNNNNNNNNNNNNNNNNNNNNNNNNNNNNNNNNNNNNNNNNNNNNNNNNNNNNNNNNNNNNNNNNNNNNNNNNNNNNNNNNNNNNNNNNNNNNNNNNNNNNNNNNNNNNNNNNNNNNNNNNNNNNNNNNNNNNNNNNNNNNNNNNNNNNNNNNNNNNNNNNNNNNNNNNNNNNNNNNNNNNNNNNNNNNNNNNNNNNNNNNNNNNNNNNNNNNNNNNNNNNNNNNNNNNNNNNNNNNNNNNNNNNNNNNNNNNNNNNNNNNNNNNNNNNNNNNNNNNNNNNNNNNNNNNNNNNNNNNNNNNNNNNNNNNNNNNNNNNNNNNNNNNNNNNNNNNNNNNNNNNNNNNNNNNNNNNNNNNNNNNNNNNNNNNNNNNNNNNNNNNNNNNNNNNNNNNNNNNNNNNNNNNNNNNNNNNNNNNNNNNNNNNNNNNNNNNNNNNNNNNNNNNNNNNNNNNNNNNNNNNNNNNNNNNNNNNNNNNNNNNNNNNNNNNNNNNNNNNNNNNNNNNNNNNNNNNNNNNNNNNNNNNNNNNNNNNNNNNNNNNNNNNNNNNNNNNNNNNNNNNNNNNNNNNNNNNNNNNNNNNNNNNNNNNNNNNNNNNNNNNNNNNNNNNNNNNNNNNNNNNNNNNNNNNNNNNNNNNNNNNNNNNNNNNNNNNNNNNNNNNNNNNNNNNNNNNNNNNNNNNNNNNNNNNNNNNNNNNNNNNNNNNNNNNNNNNNNNNNNNNNNNNNNNNNNAUUCUCGCAAUAAUCCAUAUAUACUUGCAUGCAUCGUGUUUUAAGUUUUGUAGGUAAUCCAAGAAGUAACUGUUCUCCUAACGGGAGCAAUCUUCGCUCCAUUUCAAACGUAACCAACCACCAUCAAUUACCCACCUUUUACUCUAUGACCGUUCAAAUAUUUGCUCAGUGAUACAUCCAUAACGUUUCAAAUUCGCAUUCAUGACUUCGCAUAAAUUCAUCCGAUACUAUCCGAUCCAAAGGAACCCUUUUCGAAAUAUACGACCAUUCCUAUAACAACUACGUCGGUUUUGUUCACCGUUGGGUCCAGAACUACACAUGGCCUGGUUCCCAUAACACCAGGGAUAUGUAGGCAACUAAGGAACCAGGGUUUGGCCCCCACUUUUUCCAAAUCACAUCAUACCUCAUUUAAUUCGGCCAAAAUUGGUCAUCAUUCUUUUUUACACUUUCCCUAAAAAAACUAGGGUUUACCGGAUUUCUCUCCUAAAUUGAUUUUUGAACUGAUUUUGCAUGCCUUCUUUCCUUAUUCUAUGAUUGAUUUAUUUUGUUUCCUUAUUUGUUCGUUCAAUUUUUACUACUAUAUAAAUCUCUCCCCAUUCCCCUUUUAGGACAGACUUGAAUCGACAUAUUUUCACUAAAACAUUAAGUCUUUUGUUAUGGUAUUCUCUUGUUCUGUAUUCUGUUUUUGGCUGGCUGAAAGUCAAGGCCACUAAGACUCUGUUAUUCAAUCUUCUCUCGGUGCGAGCAUUGCCCGGAGUUCUUUUGAAACUCCUGGGAACUUUGACGCAUUGAGAUUCUAGGUUCUUGUGGAAUGUUUUCUCUUUACUGUUAUUCGUUUAACUGGUAAGUUACUGCACUUCUUCAAUUUCAUUCUUAUGUGUUUGUGAUUCGCAUACGUUCUCACUUCUGAAAUCCAUAACUUAAUAUAUUUCUGGACUGGCCUUGUGUGCAAUUCUGCUAGCUUUACCUCAGUUUUAGGUCUCUUUAGCAUUUAAUUUCACAUAAUGUGACUACUAUGAAACAUGCUUUUGCCUAAUUUGAGCAAUUUAGAUUCUCAUAAAUCCGUUUAGCCAAUAUGAUCUGAACUACUACUGUGUGUGACCUUUGCACUUGUUAGCAUCUCUUUAGUGUUUAGUUAUGCUUAAAAUGUCAAUUAUGUUAUUUGAAUAUUCUUGAUCUGCAUAAUUUGUACUUUACUUAGUUAAUUAGUCUAUUGUGUCCAAAACCUGAAUGUUUACAUUUACUAUCUGACAUGAGCUUGUUUUCCUAUUCUGUUCUGAAUCUCUGUAAUGAUAAUCUUGCAAUGUAGAAUGUUUUAAGUCUGUGUUAAGAUCCUUCUCUACCAACCAUGACUAGUUCCUUGUUAAUAUGUCCCUCAUCAUGUUUUUGGCUCACUUGAUCCACCAGUAAUUGUCAUAAUCAGUGUUGCCCCAUCAUGUCUAACGCAGUUCUGUUGUCUGAUAUGAAAUUAACAUGGCUAUUUUAUGACACUAGGAUAUAUACUUAGCAUAAUUUGGACCUUUAGGUUUUCACCUGUUUGGUAUCGGGCAUCUGUGCAUGAUAAUCUUUGUCAAUCCUGCAAACUAGUUCUUUUCUUAACUCUACCAAUAUGUGACUGCCUAUGUGCUAAGUGUCGAACCUGCUUCUAAAUCUUUACUAAACUUGCUUUUAAAUCCUGUGACCUGUUCAAUUAUCUGCUCUAUAUGAUCAACUUGGCCAUGUCUGUUUUAAGUUAUAAUUGUAUCCCUCAAUUCCUAUCUCUCAACCUUGGUUCACUCUCCUUCACUUUUUACCUAUGCUCUCUUAAAUUUCUCAUCCUUAGCCGGCUGAAAGCCCAGGCUACCUAGGCUUUACUGCUGACCUCCCUAGUGUGAGCACUGCUCGAGGUCCAUUUGGGGCCCUUGUGAACUCUGACACACUAGGAUUUGGGUCCUUAGUCAUUCUCUGAAACUUAAACUACCCCCAUUCAACCCCUUUCUUCCUAUUAUCUGUUAUACAUCUAAGUCAGUUGGUUUAAAUGAUGCAAUGCUUGGAAAUAUGGUUAUAUGAAUUGAAUUUGGGCUCCUCCGUGGAUUUUGGGGUUGUUUUGAAGAAUACGGCUCCUUGUUAGAAGUUUGGGUAUGCUGUGUGAGAAUUGCUGAAGGCCCAGACAGUGCUGGGUAUUUUAUUUAAGUCUGUUGUGGGCCUAUUGUCAUUAUUUGUAUAAUAGUUGUAUCAUACUCAUUAAUGGACCUGUAAUAACUUUGUAUAAAUGAUUGGGGUGUUAGUAAAAUGGGGAAUGGGUAGAUUUCUAAUAGUUGCAUAUCAAAUGGGUAGACGACAUGCCUAUAGGACUCAUUGAUUCACUUGCUAUAUGUGCCGUUCAAUUUAUAUGUGCAUUGUAGAAACCAUGUCAUUAGGAUAAACACACACACACACACACAUUGUCUGUUGGCAAACAUGAAUUCAAAUGCUACAAUUAUUCUUACUGCUACGUGUUACUAGAAAACCUGCCUAUAGGAACAAAUGUCAAUGAACUUUCUUUCAAUUCAUUUCAGCAUAUUCAUUAAAAAUCAUUCCUAUAGGAUUUUGAUCACCUCAUUUGCUAUUAUCUCAUAAUGUUCACUACAAAACAUGCCUAUAGGAUUUUAAUCAUCUCAUUCGUUACCGCAUCACACUGUUCACCUAGAAAACAUAUCUAUAGGGUUGAGUGUAAUGAUAAAAUCAGCUCCAAGUACUAAAUAUUAGAGAUCCUGUCUAUAGGACAACACUGUUUCGUCUUAAUAAGAGUUAAUGAUGCACCUUUCAAUAUGGUUUAUUAUACACUUCUAGGAUCUUCCCAAUGGUCCUUUCAUUAUUCCUUACUGCACGAGUCACCUAGACACAGCAGGCUUAAUAACCGAAAAUCUGCAAUUUCAUUAAUCAGCAUGCAAAUCGUAUAAUCCUAUUUAUGAGCAACGCUUGGCCUUUGAAACUGUUUGCAAGCCCUGAUGCCUUGUCACGUAGAGAUCAUGACUAUAGGGAGUUAAGUUUCUUAAUUCUAAAUUUCUUAACAUGAAGUUUGUCUUGCGUGCAUUUGUUGCUUAAGUGUGGAGGCAAACUUGAACCUUAACUGUCUAUAUGUGAAGGCCAAUGUGUUUUUGUAUGUUGCCUAGUUUUGACAUUUCUGAGCAGCCUAAGUGAGGUCUAGAGCCAUCCAAAUAGAGGUCCAAAACCUCAUGGACCAUAGGUAUGGGACAGGUAGUGUACGCGUAGGGUACAAGUUAGAAUUGAAUUAGAGUGCUCUUAGGUAAACAACUUUAACAUAGUAAUCGGGUAGCAAGAGAUAAUAGUUUUUGUCCGCUGGAUAAUAUGAGUAACGCCCUAUCUAAAGGGAGUUACGAAAUAUUAUUUAUGUUGCACGGGGUGAUCCUUUAGACUAAAAAAUUUAGGACCCCCCUCCCCUUUUCUUUCUUUUCUAUUAGAAUGAAAAAAUAGCUGCACCUCCCUAUUCAAGGUCUCUUUGUAAUCAAUUCUUAUCUUUUGUACUCUCUUUGCUUACUUUAUCACAUAAACUAAUCCAUAUAAUUUAAGAUCGGCCGGGACCCACAGUUGUGGACCUCAAGAAGUGCCUAACAUCUUCUCUUUGAGGUAACUUGAGCCCUUACCUGAUCUUUGGUGGCGUUGACUAGUUAAAACAGAGUCAUUUGCAAAUACGUGCCCUAAUGUACCUUAAAAAUCGUUAGAUGGUGACUCUCCUCUUUUAAUACCUCCUUAAAAGAGUUGUCACAUGUAGAAGCCCGCUUUCGCGAGAAACAUAGGGGUGCGACAAGGAGCUCAGACUCAUAUGGCCCGUACUCCAGAGCAACAUGUCUACAUUGGUCAGGUUCUGGUGUGGUGCCUGUACAGCCUAUUAUUCUGGUCAUGUCUGAGGUCAGGCCAGAGGUAUUAGAAGAAGAACAAAAGGGGCUUGAGAGGUUUAAGAGAUAUUGUCAACCUACUCUAGUGGCUAAACGUGCCACCGUAUUCUCCGUACCAGGGGUAUUGUAGAAGUGAGGGGAGUUUCCUUUUCCAAAUUUUAGCUGUCAGGAGCAGCGUAUCAAUGGUAACACGUUUGUGAAGAGGAUAGACUAGCCGAUGCAACACUACCAACUUUGACUCAAUUUUUGGAAAUAUUUUUGAAAGAAUUUGUUCCCCAAACUCUCCGGGAGGCGUGGCACAUAGAGUUUGAACAGCUGCGUCAGGGCACCAUGACGGUGUCAGAAUAUGAUAUCAGGUUUAGUGAGUUAGCCCGUCAUGCACCUAUCUUGGUUCCUACAGUUAGAGAGCGAGUUCACAUAUUCAUUGAAGGGCUCGAUUAUGAUUUUAAAAUAUGUAUGGAUCGAGAGUUGAAGACUAACAUUCCAUUUCAUCAAGUAGUAGAGAUUACUAGGAUGUUAGAACGUGUUCAAAGUAAGGAGAAGGAGGCUAAGGAGGCCAAAUGAUCUCGGAACUCUGGAGGAUUUAGUGGAUUCUACGCUGCAGCUAUGACUCAUCAUGGCGGAGGCUCAGGCAGUCGGUCAGCCUAGUCCGCAAUUCAGAAUACUCAUAGUACUUCAGUUAAUACUUUUAGUGCACCACCGGUAUGGGGUUCUUACAGUGGGCAUUCCAGUAAUCUGGCAGAGAUUCAGUAUGAGCAGCCGCACCCGCAGAGGGGUUGUUAGGAGAGUGGUGAUACUAGACACAUCAAGAGAAAUUGUCCCAGACUUGGAAGGGGUGUAUUUCAUCAGAACACUCAAGCUACAAGCUUUAUUCCAGUUAAUACUCCACGUGCAUAGCCAGUUAGGGAUGGAGGACAGGCGGGUAGAGGUUGCCUAAGAGGUGGAGGCCCGACCCGUUGAUAUAAUUGCUAUGAAUGGGCUGAAGCUGAUACACCAGAUGGUGUAGUUACAGGUAUGAUUUAAAUUAUAAUAAAAGGAGCACUAUUCUUAUUUUGAUUCGAUUUCGAUUAUCGAGGUGAGAAACUCCUUUCAUGCUCCUUAUAUAUGGUGGAUUAGUGAAUUUGUACUCCACUCCCAUUUUUAUCCCUGUUGGGAGAUUUGAAGAUGUUAGCCCGUGCCUAUCAUUUUAUUUGUACACUACUGAGGGCUAUAAGUCCAAAAGUGACUUUAUAUUACUCACUAUUGUGGGUUUUGAUGUGAUUUCGGAAUAAUUGAUCUCAAUUUUUUGAAUUAUAUGCCCUAUUUGUAUGAGGGUUCAUUAUGUGUUGUGAAUUUGUUUACGAAAUUUAUUGGAAAGAAGAAAGAAAGGAAAUUGAAAAUUUCAGUUGGCACAAUGUGCAAAAUACUUGUGAUUCGGAGUUGAGGACGAGAUCCUCGCAUUUUUAUAUGAGGUGAAAUAUUUAAACUAGGCUACGAGCUGCUGUUAAAGUUAUGUAAGGACGUGGUCCUUGUGGUGAAAAACUUUAUGAGUUUAAAUUCUCCUUUUGUAUAAUUAAAAUUUGUACUAUAGUAUUAAUAAGGAGUCAUGCCUGUUAGGCUUAUUUGAUAAUUCUUGUAUAUAUUUCUGUGCAUAUUUAGCCAUAUUCAUGCUGUAAACAUUGAGUUUUAGCUUAUAAAGUGGGUGCCCAGGUAGCGUUAAAUGUGACUCAUUAAUUUGGAUAAAUAAUUAUGAGGUAUUCAUGCCUCGCGUGUUGCUGUCAAUAUUAUGAAAAAAUUGAAAUGAGGUUUUGGUUAAUAUGAGGUUAAUUGAUGAUACUGGAAUUAAUUAUGAACAUCUAUUAUGAUUAGAGAUGUGGUUAUGGGCAUACGUAUAAUGUGUGUGUGGGAACGAAAUUUCUACAGCCGGUUGAGACUAACACGCUGUGUUAAUAUGAAAAAUCUGGCAUUUGAAAAUGAUUGGAGAGUAAGAAAUUGGAUUUAAACCUUAUACGUAUGGAUAAAAGAAAUAAUCUCAACUGAGAUGGUGUUGUCGGACCCAUGUUAAAUUGCGGGACGUAGAAUCACCCACGAGUAUGUGUGUAAGAAUACACUCAGUAAUUUAAUGUCCUCAGAAAGAUUCUUGGCACGUUCGAGGACGAACGUAUGUUUAAGAGGUGGGGAAUGUAAUGAGUCGACUUGUCAUUUUAAUAAUUAAGGCCCCGUUCAGUGACUUAAGGUCCCGAGCAACUUCGUAAUAUGUAUUAUGACUCGCGUGUGCAUUCGAGGUUAGUUUUUGGAAGGUUCGGAAUUAAAUUGUAAGAGAAAUGCUCAUUUAUUGAAGCUUAAAUGGAAAUAGUUGACCAGAGAGUUGACAUUUGAGCAAACAACCCUGGAAUGGAAUUUUGAUGAUGUAAAUAGCUUCGUAUGGUAAUUUCGGACUUAGGAAUAUGUUCAGAUUUUUAUUUGGAUGUCCGUAGGACAAUUCGACGCAUUUUGGCGAAAGUUGGAAAAUAGAAGAUUUUUGGAAAGUUCGACCGAAGGUUGAAUUUUCGAUAAUGAGGUCGGAUUUCGAUUCCGAAAAUUUGAACAGCUCCAUUACAUCAUUUAUGACUCGUGUGCAAAAUUUGAAGUCAUUCCGGAUUGAUUUGGUACGUUUCGACGUAAAAUAUAGAAGUUGGAAGAUUUGAAAACUCUUAAAUCAUUCCGAUGCGCGAUUCGUAAUUUCGGCAUUGUUUGACGUGGUUUGAAGCCUCGACUAAGUUCGUAAUGUAUUUUGGGACAUGUUGGUAUAUUUGGUUAAGGUCCCGAGGGCCUCGGGUGAAUUCCGGAUGGCUAAUAGAUCAAUUUGGACUUGAAAAAGACUGCUGGAAUUUUGAACUUGCUGGUGUAAUCGCUUAUGUAGAAUCUUGAUCGAAGAAGCGACCUCGCAAAAUCGAGGAUUUAAUCGCAGAAGUAACCUGGAUAGAACUGGAGAAAGGUCUAAGAUGCGGACAGACUUCCGCACUUGCGCAAUCGCAGGUGCAAUGUUUUCUACGCAGAAGCGACGAGGCAGCGCAACAACGUAAAUGUUGCGCACCUGCGAUAAUCGCAAAAGCAAAAAUUGCUCCGCAGGUGCGAUCUUUGUGGCUGGGAAGUGAUCAUCGCAGAAGCGCAUUUUGUCCCGCAAAAGCGAGACCGCAGAUGCGAAAUUCUUUCCGCAGAAGCGGUUCUGGACAGAAACAUUAAGGACUAAAAUUGGUCAUUUUGCCAUUUUCGAUUGGGAUUUUGGAGCUCGGUUUUUGGGCGAUUUUGGAGGAGUUCUUCAAUACUUUGACUUGGGUUAGUGUUCUAUAUCCGAAAGUGAUUAUAUUUCAUGAAUCGAUGGUUAUAUUCAUCGUUUAAUUCAAGUUUAAUGGAGGAAAUGGGAAUUUUUAUAAGAACUUUUCAAAAAUGGAAAUUCAAGAUUUGAAGGAUAAUUUGUUAUUGGAAUUCGAUAAAAUUGGUAUGGUUGAACUCGUAUCAGAAUUGUUGUUCAGAUUUCGUAAAAAUUAUGUCGGGUUCCGAGAGGCGAGCCAUCGUUGACUCUUGUUGACUUUUUAGGAUAAAUUUCUAAGUCGACAUUUUAUUAUCCGAAAUUAUUUCCGAUGAAUCUUAAUGAAGUUAUACAAUUAAUUUGGAUAGAUUUGAGCAUUCCGGAGGUCAAUUCAAGCAAGAAGGCAAUUUUGGAAAAUCGGCAUAACUUCAAAAGGGUAAGUGUGUUGCCCAUCCUUGAGUGGGGGAAUUACCCCUUAGGCAUUGAGUCUUAUGUGCCAUUUAUGAAAUGUGAAAAGUCGUGUACGUGAGGUGACGAGUACGUACUCAGGCUAUAUGUGUAAAAUUUAUUGAUUUAAAUUCUUGGGCAUAUUGUGUCAUAAAUUGGAUAAUUAUUGGCAUUUGUUUAAUCAUCUGUUUGUCAUGCCUCAAUUCGCAUUUAUUGAAUUUAUUUUUAUAUGACGAUUUGAUGUGAAUGUUACCUGUAUAUUUAUGUUAAUUCUGUGAGUUUGAUGGUUUUAAUUUCAUUAUGGAUUUUCUCUCUGCAAAUAAUUAAUUAAACGGGAUUAAGAAGAAGUGUUAAUAUAAUUAUUAAAAUUUGGAUUAAUGAAGGCGUUGCCCUAUGCUGAUUAUUUUCUAUCUCUAUUGGUUGUUUUUGACGUUUUAUACACAUUGUGUGGAGUCUUGGGCUAAUUGUUGUGAAAUUAAUUGAUUUGUUAUAUCUUUGGAAUUGGUUGUGGCCAUUGGCCAAAUUCUGAUAUAAAUUGAUUUUUUUUAUGUUGCCGUAAAAAUAUUCUGUGUAAAUUGUUGAGUAAUUAUUUUGAAGAUAUAAGGGUGGCAUUCUACUGUUGAUAUUAUAUGGGUAUAAGGGUGGCAUUUCACUAUUGCUAUGUUGGGAUACUGUCUGGGGAAAGUGAUAAGGGUGGUUAUAGGAGAUAUAAGGGUGGCAAUAGGAGCGAUAAGGAUGACUAUUGAUAUUGUUACGGCGGAGGGAUAAGAGAAGCUAUUAUAGGAGUGAUAAGGGUGGCUAUAGGAGAGAUAAGGGUGGCUAUUGUCAAGGAUGAUAUGUGAUGAUGUGGAGUUAUUGUGUUGGCAAUUUUCAUGUAAUGUUGGAGCAUUCCUUGUGUUUAUUUUUAUAUCUUGUGCAACUUGUCUUGUUGUUUCGGUAAACUUGAUAAUAAACUGAUUUAUGUUGAAAUUGUGAGCGUGUGGCUAUUGUCGGGUAGGUAAUGUUACAUGGGAUCGGGUUGCACGCCGCAACGGAUAUGAAAUGUGGGCACGAGGUGCCGGGAAAAAUAUGAUGUUUUUAUUAUUGGCACAUGAACUGUCCGUGCAGCUAUGAUAUGAAAAGUGGGCACGAGGUGCCGGGAAAAUAUGAUGAUUUAAUUAUGGGCACGAAGUGCCGUGAAAAUAUGAAAGUGGGUUGAGCCCCGCAUUUACGAAAAAUAUGAAAAAAAGGGCUAGGACACGCAUUUUUAUGAUUAUGAAAUGGGGUGUCACAUGGUGACUUUUAAUUGAAAGAAUUAUAUUCAAAAUAUUAUAUUUUAUAGAGAUUUAUUGAAAGAAUUAUAUUUGAAAGAUACUUAUUUGAGGAAAUUAUAUUUGAAAGAGAUUUGUUGAAAGAAUUAUAUUUGACAAGUUUUUAUUUGAGGAAAUUAUAUUUGAAAGAGAGUUAUUUGGAAGAAUUAUAUGUGAAAAAUAUUUAUUUGAAUUUAUUGAAAAGUAUUAUAUCCUGAAAAGUAUUAUUUGAGAAGCAUACAGACGAAAGAUUUAUAUUUGAAGGACUUGAUUGAAUUGAGUGUACUUGUAUUUAUUAUUUGUUGAGCAAUAUUAAUAGUGCUCUUGUUGCCUUGCUGUGCAUAUCACUGGUUGAUUUGUGUUGCCCUUAUUGUUACUUGUUUCCUAUUAUUUUUGUAUACUAUAUUGCACAGGUUAUUAGACUAGUGAGUGUCUCUGACUGUACCUCGUCACUACUCCACUGAGGUUAGUCUUGAUACUAACUGGGUACCGACUGUGGUGUACUCAUACUAUACUUCUACACAUUUUUUUUACAGAGCCAGGUAUUGGAGCUAUCGGACUCGGACAGAGUUAAAGUGUGAUCGCAAUGAUUCAAGGUAGAGCUGUUUGGUCGUCGUAGUCCCUUGAAGUCUUUUCAUUUUAUUGUACUGUUAAUUAUUAAUCAAACAGUAUUGAGUAUUCGAUCUUUGAGAUCAUUUCAUGUAUUCAUUAGAAUUCGUGACUCAGUAUUACCUGUCUUGGGAGGUUUUUCAUAGUUGUUUCCUCUGUUGUUUUUUGGCACCUGUAUUGAAUUCAAAAUAAAAUGGCUUGAAAUGUAAAUGUACUUAGCUUAUCUAGUCUCUUAGAGACUAAGUUUCAUCAUGAUGCCUGUGGUGGGAUUUUGGGUCAUGACAAGUUUGUAUCAGAGUUCUAGGUUCAUAGUUUCUAUUAGUCACGAAUGAGUCUUGCGGAUCAGUACGAGACGUCUGUACUUAUCUUCGAGAGGCUACAAAACUGUUAGGAAAUUUCACUUCUUUCAUUCCUGUCGUGCGGAAUUUGUUUAUUGGAAUUUGAGCAUUUGUAUAUCUAUUCUCUCACAAAUGGUGAGGACACGUGCUACUGGGUCAGCUAAGCAAACCCCCGCGCAUACUGCUAGAGCCGCAAGAGGCCGGGGCCGAGGUAGAAGCCGAGGUAGAGGUCGAGUAAGGGCACGUGUCACAGCUAGAGCACCGAUCAGAGUAACAAUUGAGGAGCCGCCAGUAGCUCCGGUCAGGGGACAGGCAGCAGAAGCAAAUGUUGUUACCCCAAGAUUUCAGGAGACUUUAGCACAGUUCAUAAACAUGUUUGGUAUAUUAACUCAAGCAGGGUUGAUCUCUGUUGCACCAAAUAUUUAACAGAUUGGGGGAGGAGCUCAGACUCCUACCGCCCGUACUCCGGAGCAGCAUGUCUACAUUGGUCAGGUUCUGGUGUGGUGCCUGUACAACCUAUUAUUCCGGUCAUGUAUGAGGUCAGGACAGAGACAUUAGAAGAAGAACAAAAGGGGCUUGAGAGGUUUAAGAGAUAUAGUCAACCUACUUUAGUGGCACAGCUGCCGGGGAUGCCCGGGAUUUCUAGAAAAUUGCCACUAUAUUUUUCGUACCAUGGGUAUUGUAGAAGGGAGUGGAGUUUCCUUUACUACAUUUUAGGUGUCAGGAGCAGCGUAUCAAUGGUGGCAAGUUUAUGAAGAGGAUAUAUUAGCCUAUGCAACACUACCAACUUUGACUCAAUUUUCGGAAAUGUUUUUGAAAGAAUUUGUUCCCCAAACUCUCCGGGAGGCAUGGCGCACAGAGUUUAAAUGGUUGUGUCAGUGCACCAUGACGGUGUCAGAAUAUGAUACCAGGUUCAGUGAGUUAGCCCGUCAUGCACCUAUCUUAGUUCCUACAAUUAGAGAGCGAGUUCGCAUAUUCAUUUAAGGGCUCGAUUAUGAUUUUAAAAUAUGUAUGGAUCGAGAGUUGAAGACUGACAUUCCAUUUCAGCAAGUAGUAGAGAUUACUAGGAUGUUAGAACGUGUUCGAAGUGAGGAGAAGGAGGCUAAGGAGGCCAAAAGGUCUCGGAAAUCUGGAGGAUUUAGUGGAUUCUACUUUGCAGCUAUGACUCAUCAUGGCGGAGGCUCGGUCAGUCGGUCAUCCCAAUCCGCAAUUCAGAAUACUCGUAGUACUUCAGUUAAUACUUUUAGUGUACCACCGGCACAUGGUUCUUACAGUGGUUAUUCCAGUAAUCCGGCAGAGAUUCAGCAUGAGCAGCCGCGCCCGCAGAGGGGUUGUUAUGAGAGUGGUGAUACUAGACACGUCAAGAGAAAUUGUCCCAGACUUGGAAGGGGUGGAUUUCAUCACAACACUCAGACUACAAGCUUUAUUCCAGUUAAUACUCUACGUGCAUAGCCACUUAGGGGUGGAGGACAGGCGGGUAGAGGGUGCCUAAGAGGUGGAGGCCCGACCCGUUGUUAUAAUUGCUAUGAAUUAGCUGAGGCCGAUACACUAGAUGGUGUAGUUACAAGUAUGAUUUAGUUUAUAAUAAAAAGGAGCACUAUUCUUAUUUUAAUUCGAUUUCAAUUAUUGAGGUGAGAACUUCUUUCAUGCUCCUUAUAUAUGGUGGAUUAGUGAAUUUAUACUCCACUCCCAUUUUUAACCCUGUUGGUAGAUUUGAAGAUGUUAGCCCAUGUCUGUCAUUUUUAUUUUGUACACUACUGAGGGCUAUAAGUCCAAAAGUGACUUUAUAUUACUCACUACAAUGGGUUUUGAUGUGAUUACGGAAUAAUUGAUCUCAAUUUUUUGAAUUAUAUGCCCUAUUUGUAUGAGGGUUCAUUAUGUGUUGUGAAUUUGUUUACGAAAUUUAUUGGAAAUAAGAAAUAAAUAAAAUUUAAAAUUUCAGUUGGCACAAUGUGCAAAAUACUUGUGAUUCGGAGUUGAGGACGAGAUCCUCGCAUUUUAAUAUGAGUUGCAGUAUUUAAACUGGGCUACGAGCUGUGGUGAAAGUUAUGUAAGGACGAGGUCCUUGUGGUGAAAAUUUUUAUGAGUUUAAAUUUUUCUUUUGUGAAACUAAAAUUUGUACUAUAGUAUUAAUAAGGAGUCAUGCCUGUUAGGCUUAUUUGAUAAUUCUUGUACAUCUUUGUGUGCAUAUUUAGCCAUAUCCGUGCGGUAAACAAUUAGUUUUAGCCUAUAAAGUGGGUGCCCAGGUGGCGUUACAUGUCACUCAUCAAUUCGGGUAAAUAAUUAUGAGGUAUUCAUGCCUCGCUUGUUGCUGUCAAUAUUAUGAAAAGUUGAAAUGAGUUUUUGGUUAAUAUGAAGUUAAUUGAUGAUGCUAGAAUUAAUUAUGAAUAACUAUUAUGAUCAGAGAUGUGGUUAUGGGCAUACGUAUAAUGUGUGUGUGGGCACGAAAUUUCUACAGCCGGUUGAGACUAACACAGUGUGUUAAUAUGAAAAAUCUGGCAUUUGAAAUUGAUUGGAGAGUAAGGAAUUGGCUUUAAACCUUAUAAGUAUGGAUAAAAGAAAUAAACUCAACUGAGAUGGUGUUGUAGGACACAUGUUAACUUGCAGGACGUAGAAUCACCCACGAGUAUGUGUAUAAGAAUACACUCAGUAAUUUAAUGUCCUCAGAAAGAUUCUUGGCACGUUCGAGGACAAACGUAUGUUUAAGAGGUGGAGAAUGUAAUGACCCGACUUGUCGUUUUAAGAAUUAAUGCCCUGUUCAGCGACUUAAUGUCUCGAGCAAUUUUGUAAUAUGUAUUAUGACUCGUGUGUGCGGUCGAGGUUUGUUUUUGGAAGGUUCGGAAUUAAAUUGAAAGAGAAAUCCUCAUUUUUUGAAGCUUAAAUGGAAAUAGUUGACAAGAGAGUUAACUUUUGAGCAAAUGACCCCGGAAUGGAAUUUUGAUGAUGUCAAUAGCUUUGUAUGGUGAUUUCAGACUUAGGCGUAUGUCUGGCUUUAUAUUUGGAAGUCCGUAGGAUAAUUCGACACAUUUUGGCGAUAGUUGGAAAAUAGAAGAAUUUUAAAAAGUUCGACCGAAGGUUGAAUUUUUGAUAACGAGGUUGGAUUUUGAUUCCGGAAAUUGGAAUAUCUCUAUUACGUCAUUUAUGACUCGUGUGAACAAAUUGAAGUCAUUCCGGAUUGAUGUGAUAUGUUUCGACGCGAAAUAUAGAAGUUGGAAGAUUUCAAAACUCAUAAUUUAUUUCGAUGUGCGAUUCCUAAUUUCGGCGUUGUUUGACGUGGUUUGAAGCCUCGACUAAGUUCUUAUUGUAUUUUGGGACAUGUUGGUAUAUUUGGUUAAGGUUCUGAGGGCCUCGGGUGAAUUCCUGAUGGCUAACAGAUCAAUUUGGACUUGAAAAAGACUGCUGGAAUUUUGAACUUGCUGGUGUGAUCACAUCUGCGGAAUCUUUAUUGAAGAAGCGACCUUGCAGAAGCAAGGAUUUCAUCGCAGAAGUGACCUGGGCAGAACUGGAGAAAGGUCUCAGAUGCGGACAAACUUCCGCACCUGCGCAAUUGCAGGUGCGAUGCCUUCUACGCAGAAGCGACGAGGCAGCGCAACAGCGGAAAUGUUGCGCACCUGGGAUAAUCGUAGAAGAAAAGGUUGCUCCGCGGGUGCAAUCUUUGUGGCUGGGCAGUGAUCAUCGCAGAAGCGCAUUUUGUCCCGCAAAAGCGAGACUGCAGAUGCGAAAUUCUUUCCGUAGAAGCGGUUCUGGACAGAAACAUUAAGGACCAAAAUUGGUCAUUUUGCCAUUUUCGAUUGAGAUUUUAGAGCUCGAUUUUUGGGCGAUUUUGGAGGAGUUCUUCAAUACUUUGACUUGGGCUAGUGUUCUAUAUCCGAAAGUGAUUAUAUUUCAUGAAUCUAUGGUUAUAUUCAUCGUUUAAUUCGAGUUUAAUGGAGAAAAUGGGAAUCUUUGUAAAAACUUUUCAAAAAUGGACAUUCAAGAUUUGGGGGACGAUUUGUUAUUGGAAUUUGAUAAAAUUGGUAUGGUUAAACUCGCGUCAGAAUGGGAGUUCGAAUUUCAUGAAAAUUAUGUCGAGUUCCUAGAGGCGGGCUCGCAUUGACUUUUGUUGACUUUUUAGGAUAAAUUUCUAAGUCGACAUUUUAUUAUCCGAAAUUGUUUCCGAUGAAUCUUAAUAAAGUAAUACAAUUAAUUUGGAUAGAUUUGAGCGGUCCGGAGGUCAAUUCAAGCAAGAAAGAGAUUUUGGAACAUCGACAUAACUUCAAAAAGGUAAGUGUUUUGCCUAACCUUGAGUGGGGAAAUUACCCCUUAGGCAUCGAGUCUUAUAUGCCAUUUGUGAAAUGUAAAAAGCCGUCUACGCGAGGUGACGAGUACGUACUCGGGCUAUAUGUGCAAAAUUUAUUGAGUUAAAGUCUUGGGCAUAUUAUGUAGUAAAUUGGAUAAUUUUUGAAUUUUAUUUAAUCAAUUGGUUGCCAUGCCUCAAUUCGCAUUUAUUGAAUUUGUUUUUAUAUGACGAAUUGAUAUGAAUGUUACCUGUAUAUUUAUGUGAAUUCUGUGAGUUUGAUGGUUUGAUAUUUCUGUAAUUUAAUUUUAUUAUGGAUUUUCCCUCUGCAAUUAAUUAAUUAAACGAGCUUAAGAAGAAGUGUUAAUAUAAUUAUCAAAAAUUGGAUUAAUGAAGGAGUUGUCCUAUGCUGAUUAUUUUCUAUCUCUGUUGAUUGUUUUUUAGGUUUUAUAUUGUCACGACCCAAAAAUCCUUUUCUGUCGUGAUGGCGCCUAUCUCAGUACUAGGCAAGCCGACAACAUCAAUAACCAGUGCAAGCUGCCAAUAUCUGGGCUAAAGUCUCCUUAAGGCCUGGAAUCUCAAUGGGCACAGCUGGUGCCUGAGCUGAUCCUGUCGGCUCAACUAUAUCUAGAAUCUACUCCUGAGUUGGAGCAACUGGUGGUACUACAGGUACUGGUCCAACUGUGAUACGAGCUACACCUCGACCUCUACCUCGACCCCGGCCUCUACCACGGCCUCAGCCUCUCGCGGCCCUAACUGGUGGCAUUGGUGGUUGACCGUCCGAUCCGGUAGUACGUGUCCUCACCAUCUGUGAGAGAAUAGAUUAACAGAAACUUAGUUUCCGGAAUCAACAAAUUCGCACGACGGAAUACAAGAAAGUGAAGUUUUCCUACGGUUUCUGCAGCCUCUUGAAUAUAAGUACAGACGUCUCUGUACCGAUUCACAAGACUCUACUAAACCUGCUCAUGACUCGUGAGACCUAUGUAACCUAAGCUCUGAUACCAACUUGUCAUNNNNNNNNNNNNNNNNNNNNNNNNNUAAUACAAUACCAAAAAUCUAGCAAUUUCCGAUACAACGAUCCUAAAACUUGGUGUCACUGAGUACAUGAGCAUCUAAUAUGAGUACAAGUCUGGAAAAUACGGUCUAUAAUAGUUUGAGACCAAAUACAGUAUACAAGGAUAUAGAGAAGGAGAGACAAGGUCUGCGGAACAUGGCAGCUACCUCAAAAUCUCUUGAAAAUCAACUGCGCGAAAUGAUCAACACCCUCUAUGUCCAGGAACACCUGGAUCUGCACACGAAGUGCAGGGUGUAGUAUGAGUACAACUAACUCAGCAAGUAACAAUAAUAGAUAAGGAACUGAAGAUAAUGACGAGCUAUACAGUUAUAGUUAACUUUCAGUAAUUCCAACAAAGAAUAGACAUGGGUUCGAAUCCGACAGUUUAAGUCAAAUAAAUUUUAUACAAUUCAAUUUCAAGUAAUUCGGAUAUAAAUUCUUUCAGAGAUUUUACAACAAUGGCAGAUAGCAACCAAGUGCAAUAACAAAUGCAAAGUAAGUACAGCCUCGCAGGCAACAGUCACUCAGCUCAUCACAACAGCUCAACUACUCGGCUCUCAGCCCUCAGCACUCACACUCAAUGGGUACCCGCACUCACUGGGGGUGUGUACAGACUCCGGAGGGGAUCCUACAGCCCAAGCGCCAUAAUCUGCAUGGACAACUCACGUGCUGCACGGACAACUCACGUGCUAUAAUAUCCUACACGGACAACUCACGUACCAUAAUAUCCUUACCUCACCGACAUGCCCUCGGCCUUACUCAAUCCUCAACCUCUCAAGUCUCUCGGGCUCUCAGAAAUCAUAAGAUCAGCCCAAACAAAGAUAACAUAGUAUAUCAACAAAUAUCCAGAAAGACUGAGGUAUAAUACGCAAGAAAAUCAUGACUGAGUACAAGACAAUAAUUAGCAAAUAAUUCAACAAGUAUGCGACCUCUGUGGGUCCCAACAGUACUAUCACAUAGCCUAAGCAUGAUUUUUAAUCAUGAUUUACAGUCAAAUUCUUUCAACACAAAGAGAACUUAUAGCUAACAACAGGUUAUUCAACUUUACAGUUUCACGGGACGGACCAAGUCACAAUCCCUUCGGUGCACUCCCACACGCCCGUCACCUAGCAUGUGCGUCACCUCCAAAAUAAUCACAUGACAUAAAAUCCGGGGUUUCAUACCCUCAGGACCAGAUUUAUAACUGUUACUUACCUCAACCUGUGUAAUUAUUUAUUCUGAUAUGCCCUUGCCACGAGAAUUGGUCUCUGAAAGCCUCGUAUCUAGCCACAAUUAAUUCGAAUCAGUCAAUACAAAUUAUUAUAAUUAAUUCCAUAAGGAAAUACUAAUUUUCCCAAUAAAAUCCGAAAUUAACUCAAAAAUUGCCCGUAGGGCCCACGUCUCGGAACUCGACAAAAGUUACAGAAUAAGAAUGCUCAUCCAACCACGAGUCCAACCAUAUAAAUUUCACCAGAAUUCUACACCAACUCGACCCUCAAAUCUUCAAUUAAAGUCUAUGAAGAUUUCUAUCAUUUUCAACCCAAUCCUUACCCAUUUCAACUUAACAAUCUUUCCACAACCUUAUUGGUAUAUAUACAUGAUAGUCUACACCCAAGAAUCAUACUAUUAAUCAUCCAUCUUUACUCCAAACCCGAUAUUGAAGAAUUAGGGAAAGAAAUUCUUACCUCUUUGAAGCCCUAGCAAGAUACUUGUGAAAUCUUCAAACCUUGAACAAGAAUUGAUGGAUAAAUGACUAAGUCUUCAAUUUCUCUCUCUAAAAUGCUCUCACCUCUCUCUAAAAUAUCAGAUUUUGGCUUAAAAAUGAGCUUCAAGGGCUAUAAAUCGAAGUUGGGUCGGGUCAAAAAUUAGAAAGAAUGGAAGCUCUAAUACAGUUAUGCGGUCGCAUAUGCGAUCGCAUAACAGGUAUGCGGUCCGCAUACCGGCCGCAUAAUUUAGCCUCCAAAGAUGGGCGUUACUGACCUGUUCUGCGGUCAUUAUGCGAUCCGCAUACUUGUUCUGCGGUCUCAUAAUGCACCGCAAAACAGGUCUGCGGUCGCAUAGUGCACCGCAGAUUAUCCUCAAAUCUUGCCCUCCUCCUGUUCCACUUUGCGACCAUUAUGCGGUCCGGAGAGUGAUUCUGCGACCGCAUAGUGGUCGUAGAAAUGGCCAUUUUCCAACAAAAAUUUCCUUUACACUUCGGUGCAUUGUUCAACCCAAAAAGUCCGAGCCGCGGUGAGCAAGCUCGCAAUGAGAAUUUUCUAUAAUCUUUGUAAUAAUUGAUCUACCUCGACACCACCAAAACUUAAUUUCCUUAGCAAAAUUUCUCUGAGGUCGUUACACAUAAGUUAGCAUUCGGUCAACCUUUUCAACUUAAUUUCUAAACCUUGGAACUAAGCGCUCUAAAUCAUUUCAAAACCUCACCGAACCCAAAUCAAUUACCCCGUCAAGCCAAAUAACAACUGUAAUUCACAAUUUAAGCAGUAAAUGGGGGAACGGGAUUGCAAUAGUCAAAACGAACGGCCGGGUCGUUAGAUUCUCCCCCUCUUAAACAAAUGUUCGUCCUCGAACGGGCUUAGAAUCAUACCUGGAGUCUCAAAUAGAUGUGGAUAUUUGCUCCGCAUCUCCUGCUCAAUCUCCCAAGUAGCUUCUCCGACUGGCUGGCCUCUCUACUGCACCUUCACCGAAGCUAUGUUCUUUGAUCUCAACUUUCGAACCUGCCGAUCUAAAAUAGUUACCGGCUCCAUAUCAUAAGUCAAAUUACCGUCUAGUUGCACUGUACUGAAAUCCAGAAUAUGAGACAGAUCCCCGACAUACUUUCGGAGCAUGGAUACGUGGAACACUGGAUGAACACCUGAUAGACUGGGUGGCAAGGCAAGUUCAUAAGCCACUUCUCCAAUUUUCUUAAGUAUCUCAAAAGGCCCAAUAUACCGAGGGCUCAACUUGCCCUUCUUUCCGAACCUCAACACACCCUUCAUGGGUGAAAUCUUAAGCAGAACCUUCUCCCCAACCAUGUGAACAACAUCACAAACCUUCCUGUCGGUAUAACUCUUCUGUCUAGACUGUGCUGUGCGAAGCCGUUCCUGAAUUACUUUAACCUUCUCUAAAGCAUCCUGAACCAAGUCAGUACCAAAUAGUCUAACCUCACCCAGCUCAAACCAACCCACCGGAGACCGACACUGUCUCCCAUAUAAAACUUCAUACGGAGCCAUCUGAAUGCUUGACUGGUAGCUAUUAUUGUAAGCAAACUCCGCGAGUGGCAGAAAUUGAUCCCAAGAACCCCCAAAAUCAAUGACACAAGCGCGUAGCAUAUCCUCCAAUAUAUGAAUAGUGCGCUCGGACUGUCCAUCCGUCUGAGGGUGAAAUGAUAUACUCUACUGAAUCUGUGUGUCCAAUUCUCGCUGCACUGCCCUCCAAAACUGUGAGGUAAACUGCGUACCCCGAUCUGAAAUAAUGGACACCGGCACGCCGUGUAGGCGAACAAUAUCGCGAAUAUAAAUCCUAGCCAACCGCUCCGAAGAAUAAUUAGUACCAACUGGAAUAAAAUGCGCAGAUUUGGUUAGCCGAUCUACAUUCACCAAAACAGCAUCAAACUUUCUCAAGGUCCAUGGGAGCCCAACUAUAAAGUCCAUGGUAAUACGCUCCCGUUUCCACUCCGAAAUUUCAUGUCUCUGUAGCAAUCCACCCGGUCUCUGAUGCACAUACUUUACCUGUUGACAAUUUAAACACCGAGACACAAACCCAACUAUAUCUUUCUUCAUCUGCCUCCACCAAUAGUGUUGUCUCAAAUCCUAAUACAUCUUUGCGACGCCUGGAUGAAUAGAGUACAGCGAACUGUGAGCUUCCUGGAGAAUCAGGUCACGCAAACCAUCUACAUUAGGCACACAUAGCCUGCCCUGCAUCCGUAAUACACCGUCAUCUCCAAUAGUGACUUCCUUGGCAUCACCUUGUUGAACCGUGUCCACAAGGACAAGCAGAUGUGGAUCAUCAUACUGGCGCUCUCUAAUGCGAUCAUAUAUAAAAGACUGAGAAACUACACAGGCCAAAACUCGAUUCGGCUCGAGAAACAUCCAAUCUAACAAACUGAUUAGCCAAGGUCUGAACAUCCAAGGCUAAAGGCCUCUCUUCUGCCGGUAAGUAUGCUAAGCUGCCCAAACACUCCGCCUUACGACUCAAGGCAUCGGCCACCACAUUGGCCUUUUUGGGAUGAUAAAGAAUGGUGAUAUUGUAAUCCUUUAGCAACUCUAACCACCUUCGCUGCCGCAAGUUAAGAUCAUUCUGUUUAAAUAAAUGUUGUAGACUCCGAUGAUCGGUAAACACCUCACACUGGACACCAUACAAGUAAUGCCGCCAAAUUUUCAAGGCAUGAACAAUAGCUGCUAACUCAAGAUCGUGGACUAGAUAAUUCUUCUCAUGUACCUUUAGCUGUCUGGACGCAUAGGCAAUCACCCUACCGUCUUGCAUCAGCACUGCACCGAGACCAAUACGCGACGCAUCACAAUACACAGUAUAAGACUCCGAACCUCUAGGCAACACCAAUACAGGAGCUGUAGUCAAAGCUGUCUUGAGCUUUUGAACGCUCUUUUCACAUUCAUCCAACCACCUGAAUUGAAUACCUUUCUCGGUCAAUUUAGUCAUAGGCGAUACAAUAGACGAGAAUCCUUCCAUGAAGCGACAAUAAUAACUGGCCAAGCCGAGAAGACUCUGAAUCUCAGUAACUGAAGAAGGCCUGGGCCAAUUCUAAACUACCUCUAUUUUCUUCGGAUCCAUCUUAAUUCCUUCACUGGACACUAUAUGUCCCAAGAAUGCCACCGAACUAAGCCAGAACUCGCACUUAGAGAAUUUAGCAUAAAGUCUCUCCUCUCUCAACCUCUAUAAUACAAUACCUAAGUGUCGUGCUUGCUCCUCCUGGUUACGUGAUACACCAGAAUAUCAUCAAUAAAUACUACAACAAAUAAAUCAAGAUAUGGCUGGAAUACACUAUUUACCAAAUGCAUAAAUAUUGUUGGGAAAUUGGUUAGCCCAAAAGACAUCACAAGAAAUUCAUAGUGACCAUAACGAGUUAUGAAUGUCGUAUUCAGAAUAUCCGAGUCCUGAAUCUUCAACUGGUGAUACCCAGACCUCAAAUCAAUUUUGGAGAACACCCUCGCUCCAUGAAGCUGGUCAAAUAAAUCAUCAAUUCGUGGCAAGGGAUAUUUAUUUAUGAUUGUAACUUUGUUCAACUGCCUAUAAUCGAUGCAUAUCCGUAUAGUACCAUCUUUCUUUUUCACAAACAGAACUGGUGCACCCCAAUGUGACAUGCUAGGCCUAAUAAACCCCUUUUCAAAGAGUCCCUGAAGUUGCUCUUUCAAUUCUUUUAACUCAGCUGGUGCCAUACGAUAUAGAGGAAUAGAAAUGGGUUGAGUGACAAGUCAAUACCAAAAUCGAUAUCCCUGUCGGGCGGCAUACCCGGCAGGUCUGUAGGAAAUACAUCAGGAAAAUCUCUUACUACAGGUACUGAAUCAAUAAGAAAUUACGUUGCUAGGAACAAAAUCUAGAGAACCUCUCCACUCAACCUUUGGCAACCCCGGCAUGGUCAACGUAAAGGUUUUUGCAUGACAGUCCAGAAUAGCAUGACAUGGAGACAACCAAUCCAUACCCAGGAUUACAUCGAAAUCGACCAUACUGAGUAAUAAAAGAUCAACCCUAGUCUCCAAUUCCCCAAUAGUUACCACACACGACCGAUACACACGGUCCACAGUAAUAAUUCAACCCACCGGUGUAGAUACACUAACAUGUGAAACUAAGGACGCACAUGGCAUAUCCAGAUAAUGAGCAAAAUAUGAUGAUACAUAUGAAUAAGUAGAACCAGGGUCAAAUAAUAAAGAAGCCUCCCUAUGGCACACUGAAACAAUACCUAUGAUCACUGCAUCUGAAGCAACAACAUCUGGCAUGGCAGGAAAAGCAUAGAAUCGGGCCUGACCGCCACAUGAUCGGCCUCCCACUCUUGGGCGACCCCUAGCUGCCUGACCCCCACCCCGAGCUGGUUGGGCGGGUGGUGUAACUGCUGGUGCUGGUACCGUUGGUCGAGAACUUUGCUGUGGAGCCCCACUCAACAUCCUACGACAAUCCCUCUUGUAAUGACCCAAUUCUCCGCACUCGAAACAACCCCUCCUCUGACAGAACUGCUGCUCCUGAUAACCCGAAGAAUUACCUGUAGAAGCCUGAGCGGACGAGUCCUGAUGAGAACCCUGCACUGGUAGUGCACUAAAUGAAGACUGGCCUGAAUGAGCACUAUAAAAACCGUGCUAGCUGAUGCACCAUGAUGAACUGGAUGACCCGCCUGAGCGUGUCUAUAAGAACGGCCCCUACCACGGUAAAACUUACCCCCUGAAGAAACACCGCUGAAGUCACCGGAACCACGAGGCCUCUUAGCCUCCCUUUCAACACGUUCCUGGCUGCGAACCAUCUCAAUCUGAUGAGCAAUGUCAACAACCUCGUCGAAAGUAGCACCAAACACUCUCUCUCUAGUCAUGAGUAAUUGCAGCUGAAAAGUGAGGCCAUCUAUGAACCUCCUAAUCCUUUCCUUGUCUGUAGGAAUCAAUCAGAUAGCAUGACGGGCCAAUUAUGAAAAUCUCAUUUCAUACUGCAUCACGGACAUAUCACCCUAACGAAGCUGCUCAAACUGCUUGCGCAGCUCCUCUAUGCAGGACUGAGGUACGAACUUCUCCAGGAAUAGACUGGAGAAUUGCUGCCAGGUAAGGAGUGUUGCACCGACUGACCUACACCUCUCGUAAGACUCCCACCAUCCGAAGGUAAUCCCAGAAAACUAAAAAGUAGUGAAUGAGACCCCACUGGUCUCCAAAAUACCCGUUGUCCGAAGCAUCCGCUGACACUUAUCCAGAAAACCCUGGGCAUCCUCUGACUCAGCACCGCUAAAAUAUGGAGGUCGAAGCCUCUCAAAUCUCUCAAGUCUCCUCUGCUCAUCAUCUGCCAUAACAGGAACUACCGGGGCCUGAGCAUUUGCAACUAGCUGGACUGGUAGUGCCCCCAGUAUCUGAAGUCCCUGUACUACCUAGUCUGGAGUACGGGCAACAGGGCUAUAAGUACCUCCCCCGGCCUGAGAAGCGGCAGGUGCGGCCUGAGCCAAAACCACCUGAGCCAGACCAGUGCAAGCUGCCAAUAUUUGGGCUAAAGUCUCCUUAAGUCUUGGAAUCUCAAUGGGCACAGCUGGAGCCUGAGCUGACCCUGUCGGCUCAACUAUAUUUGGAAUCUGCUCUUGAACUGGAGCAACUGGUGGUACUACAGGUGCUGGUCCAACUGUGGUAUGAGCUACACCUCGACCUCUACCUCGACCCCGGCCUCUACCACGGCCCCAGCCUCUCUCGGCCCUAACUGGUGGCACCGGUGGUUGACCAUCUGAUCUGGUAGUAUAUGUCCUCACCAUCUGUGACAGAAUAGAUUAACAAAAAUUUAGUUUCCGGAAUCAACAAAUUCGCACAACUGAAUACAAGAAAGUGAAGUUUUCUUAUGGUUUCUGCAGCUUCUCGAAGAUAGGUACAGACGUCUUCGUACCGAUCCGCAAGACUCUACUAAACCUGCUCAUGACUCGUGUGACCUAUGUAACCUAGGCUCUGAUACCAACUUGUUAUGACCCAAAAAUCCUAACCUGUCGUGAUGGCGCCUAUCUCAAUACUAGGCAAGCCGACAACAUCUAUAACCCACGAUUUCCUUUAAAUUUAAAAUCGUAACGUUUAAUACAAUACCAAAAAUCUAGCAAUUUCCGAUACAACACCCCCAAAACCUUGUGUUACUGAGUACAUGAGCAUCUAAUAUGAGUACAAGUCUAGAAAUUACGGUCUAUAAUAGUUUGAGACCAAAUACAGUAUACAAGGAUAUAGAAAAGAAGAGACAAGGUCUGCGGAACACGACAGCUAUCUCAAAAUCUCCUGAAAAUUAAUUACGCGAAAUGAUCAACACCCGCUAUGUCCGGGAACACCUGGAUCUGCACACGAAGUGCAGGGUGUAGUAUGAGUACAACCAACUCAGAAAGUAACAAUAAUAAAUAAGGAAUUGAAGAUAAUGAUGAGCUACACAGUUAUAGUUCACUUUCAGUAGUUCCAGCAAAGAAUAGACAUGCUUUCGAAUCUGGCAGUUUAAGUCAAAUAAAUUUUAUACAAUUCAAUUUCAAGUAAUUCGGAUAUAAAUUCUUUCAUAGAUUUCACAACAACGACAGAUAGAAACCAAGUGCAACAACAAAUGCAAAGCAAGUACAGCCUCUCGGGCAACAGUCACUCAGCUCAUCACAACAGCACAACCACUCAGCCCUCAGCACUCACACUCAAUGGGUACCCGUUCUCACUGGGGUGUGUACAGACUCCGAAGGGGCUCCUACAGCCCAAGCGCCAUAAUCUGUACGGACAACUCACGUGCUAUAAUCCUGCACGGACAACUCACGUGCCAUAAUAUCCUUACCUCACCGACAGGCCUUCGGCCUUACUCAGUUCUCAACCUCUCAAGUCUCUCGGGCUCUCGAAAAUCACAAGAUCAGCCCAAACAAAGAUAACAUAGUAUAUCAAUAAAUAUCCAGAAAGACUGAGGUAUAAUACGUAAGAAAAUCAUGACUGAGUACAAGACAAUAAUUAUCAAAUAAUUCAACAAGUACGCGACCUAUGUGGGUCCCAACAGUACUAUCACAUAGCCUAAGUAUGAUUUUUAAUCAUGAUUUACAGUCAAAUUUCUUCAACACAAAGAGAACUUAUAGCUAACUUUACAGCUUCACGGGACGGACCAAGUCACAAUCCCUUCGGUGCACGCCCACACGCCUGUCACCUAGCAUGUGCGUCACCUCCAAAAUAAUCACAUGACAUAAAAUUCGGGGUUUCAUACACUCAGGACCAGAUUUAUAACUGUUACUUACCUCAACCCGUAUAAUUAUUUAUUUUGAUAUUCCUUUGCCACGAGAAUUGGUCUCCGAAAGCCUUGUAUCUAGCCACAAUUAAUUCGAAUCAGUCAAUAUAAAUUAUUAUAAUUAAUUCCAUAAGAAAAUACUAAUUUUUCCAAUAAAAUCCGAAAUUAACUCAAACAUCACCCGUAGGGCCCACAUCUCGGUACCCGACAAAAGUUACAGAAUAAGAACGCUCAUCCAACCAUGAGUCCAACCAUACAAAUUUUACCAAAAUCCGACACUAACUCGACCCUCAAAUCUUCAAUUAAAGUCUAUGAAGAUUUCUACCAUUUUUAGCCCAAUCCUUACCCAUUUGAACCUAACAAUCUUUUCACAACCUUAUUAGUAUGUAUACAUGAUACUCUACACCCAAGAAUCAUACUAUUAAUUAUUCAUCUUUACUCCAAACCCGAAAUUAAAGAAUUAGGAAAAAGAAAUUCUUACCUAAUUUCCAUAUCCUUGUGAAAUCUUCAAAUCUUGAACAAGAAUUGAUGGAUAAAUGACUAAGUCUUCACUUUCUCUCUCUAAAAUGUUCUCACCCCUCUCUAAAAUAUCAGAUUUUGGCUCAAAAAUGAGCUUCAAGGGCUAUAAAUCGAAGUUGGGUCGGGUCAAAAAUUAAAAGGAAUGGAAGCUCCAACACAGUUAUGCGGUCACAUAUGUGAUCGCAUAACAGGUAUGCGGUUCGCAUGCCGGCCGCAUAAUUUGGCCUCCAAAGCUGGGCGUUACUGACUUGUUCUGCAGUCAUUAUGCGGUCCACAUACUUGUUCUGCGAUCGCAUAAUGCACCACAAAACAAGUAUGUGGUCACAUAGUGCAUCGUAGAUUUUCCUCAAAUCUUGCCCUCCUCCUGUUCCACUUUGCGACCAUUAUGCGGUCCGCAAAGUGAUUCUGCGACCGCAUAGUGGUCGCAGAAAUGAUAAUUUUCCGACAAAACUUUCCUUUACACUUCGGUGCAUUGUUCAACCCAAAAAGUUCGAUCCGCGGCGAGCUUAAUUGAUCUACCUCGGCACCACCAAAACUUAAUUUCCUUAGCAAAAUUUCUCCAUGGUCGUUACACAUAAGUUAUCAUCCGGUCAACCUUUUCAACUUAAAUUCUAAAUCUUGGAACUAAGCGCUCUAAAUCAUUUCAAAGCCUCACUGAACCCAAACCAAUUACCCCGGCAAGCCAAAUAACAACUGUAAUUCACAAAUUAAGCAGUAAAUGAGGGAACGGGAUUGCAAUAGUCAAAACGACCGGCCGGGUUAUUACGUAUAUAUAUUGUGUAGAAUCUUGGGNNNNNNNNNNNNNNNNNNNNNNUGAUAUCAAUUGAUUUUUGUUAUGUUGCCGUGAUAAUAUUCCGUAUAAAUUGUUGAGUUAUUAUUUUGAGGAUAUAAGGGUGACAUUCUACUGUUGAUAUUAUGUGGAUAUAAGGGUGUCAUUUCACUGUUGCUAUGUGUGUUGGGGUAUUGUCUGGGGGAAGUGAUAAGGGUGGCUAUAGGAGAGAUAAGGGUGGCAAUAGGAGCGAUAAGGGUGGUUAUUGAUAUUGUGAGGGCGGAGGGAUAAGGGAGGCUAUUAUAAGAAUGAUAAGGGUGGCUAUAGAAGACAUAAGGGUGGCUAUUGUCAGGGAUGAUAUAUGAUGAUGUGUAGUUAUUGUGUUGGUAAUUUUCAUGUGAUGUUGGGGUAUUCCUUGUGUUUAUUUUUAUAUCUUGUGCAACUUAUUUUGUUGUUUCGGUAAACUUGAUAAUAGUCUGAUUUAUGUUGAAAUUGUAAGUGUGUGGCUAUUGCCGGACAGGUAAUGUUAUAUGGGAUCAGGUUGCACGCCGCAACGGAUAUGAAAUGUGGGCACGAGGUGCCGAGAAAAAUAUGAUGGUUUUAUUAUUGGCACGUGAACUGUUCGUGCAGCUGUGAUAUGAAAAGUGGGCAUGAGGUGCCGAGGAAAUAUAAUAAUUUAAUUAUGGGCACGAAGUGCCGUGGAAAUAUGAAAGUGGGAUGAGACCCGUGUUUACAAAAAAUAUGAAAAAAAGGGCUGAGACGCGUAUUUUUAUGAUUAUGAAAUGGGGUGUCACAUGGUGACUUUUAAUUGAAAGAAUUAUAUUUAAAAUAUUAUAUUUGAAAGAGAUUUAUUGAAAGAAUUAUAUUUGAAAGAUACUUAUUUGAGGAAAAUAUAUUUGAAAGAGAUUUAUUGAAAGAAUUAUAUUUGAAAGAUAUUUAUUUGAGGAAAUUAUAUUUGAAAGAGAGUUAUUUGGAAGAAUUAUAUGUGAAAGAUAUUUAUUUGAAGGGAGUAUAUUCUAAAUAUAUUUGUUGAAAAGUAUUAUAUCCUAAAGAGUAUUAUUUGAGAAGCAUACAGACGAAAGAUUUAUAUUUGAAGGACUUGAUUUAAUUGGGUGUACUUGUAUUUAUUAUUUGUUGAGCAAUAUUAAUAGUGUUCUCGUUGCCUUGCUGUGCAUAUCACUGGUUGAUUUGUGUUGCCCUUAUUGUUAUUUGUUUCCUAUUAUUUUUGUAUAUUAUAUUGCACAGGUUAUUAGACUAGUGAGUGUCUCGAUUGUACCUCGUCACUACUCCACUGAGGUUAGUCUUGAUACUAACUGGGUACCGAUCGUGGUGUACUCAUACUACACUUCUGCACAUUUUUGUGCAGAGCCAUGUAUUGGAGCUAUCGGACUCAGGCAGAGUUAAAAUGUGAUCGCAAUGAUUCAAGGUAGAGCUGUUUGGUCGUCGCAGUCCCUUGAAGUCUUUUCAUUUUAUUGUAUUGUUAAUUAUUAAUCAAACAGUAUUGAGUAUUCGAUCCUUGAUAUCAUUUCAUGUAUUCAGUUAGAGUUCGUGACUCAGUAUUACCAGUCUUGGG
This 46092-nucleotide long non-coding RNA is filed under the name Nicotiana tabacum (common tobacco). Its description in RNAcentral is "long non-coding RNA (NTAB_LNC009259)". Lineage: Eukaryota; Viridiplantae; Streptophyta; Magnoliopsida; Solanales; Solanaceae. The record is from RNAcentral.